UCUUUUUUUUUUUUUUUUUUUUCAGAAGGUUUUAAGCAUGCAUGUAUAUUAGACUAUCAUGCGUUGUUGUCUAGUUGAUAACCUUAUUAUGAUGCAUGGGAUCUGAAUUCUUUAAUAAAGAAGGGCGAGAGAAGGUUUCAUGAUUAUAAAAAUUGAUUUGUUUACACGCGUUUGGAGAAUGGAAUCACAUUAUAGUACUCCCUCAGUUCCAAAAUUUUUGUCAUACUUUUUAUUUUUGAGAUAUUCUAAAAUACGGCGAAUUUCUCGAAAUAAUGUUAAAAUAAGCCUUGAAUCAAAUACAGAAAAGCUACCAAUCAGAACACGGUAAAACCUAAUCAGAAUAAUAUCGUGUCUAUUUCAUUUUUUUCUGUCAUACAAAUAUCUUUUGCUCAAACCCAAAAUUGUAGCAGUAUAUCCUUCAUCACCACCUUCAAGCAUUAUUCUACAAAGAACAAAAUCCGUUUGAGUCAGUUUAAGGAAAACAUAAUUAGAUUUUAUGAUAUAUAUGGCAAAAGUUCAGCAAGAUGAGUGGUUCAAAUAGAAAAUACUAGUAACAAUUAAAGCACUGAAAAGACAACACCCCUACGCUAAAUCGUCCCAGUUCGAUCUGUGCAAAAGUAGUACUAGCAGUAGUUGUCUGUUGGAAAUUCAAUUCCAGUCCAACUCAAAGAUGGUUUAUUAAUUCAAAAAGUCUGAGUUUCUCAGCUUAUAAAAAAAGAUGGUUCACAACCCAAGAAACAUUUUUAAUGAUCAGCAAAUUAUGAUUGUAAAUUAUUUAAAAUAUUUUUACUGUAACACUUUUUAUGAUGUGAUGUAUGUAAGAUAAAAAGGUAAUUUUUUUUUUUUUUGUCAAUUACGACAGUUUGACUUUUGUAAAUCCUAAACUUAAACCCACAGAUAAAAAGGUAAUUGAAAAAAUCAAAAGGUGUAUUGAAAAUUAUAAUGGUGAUGUAAGCAAAUAAAUUUGGAUAAAUAAUCUCCUGUCCAAACACACUAGAUGUUAAUCGACACUUCAACAGUGGGUAAUACUCAAUGAGGCGUUAGUGUUCCACGGUCAAACUAGGUAGAUAGCUAGGUAUCAUGAAAUCCUUCUCUUGAUAGUAAGGGCACGAAAGGCCCAAUGAGUAGCCCAACAAAGCCUGGACCCAGGUUGCAUUCCUCUGAUUAUUUUCUGAGUUCCCCUUGGUGGCGCUGGCACAGGCGCAGGCCUGGGCAUGAAUCCUAGACACGUAUGGAAUGAUUUCAACGAAGAAACCGAAAUUCCAGCAGGGAACGGGGAAUUCAUUUGAAUCUGCCGCUGUCCCCCAUCACCAUUUACGGAGUUCUACAUGAAAACCAAGAUGCUUUGUCAGUGCACUUCAAGGUUGGAUCACACAGAUAAUAGGAAAUUGUGACAGGAAAGCACCAAGGCAUGAGCAGCAACUAAUAGCCCGACAUCAAAAGCCAUAGACACAAAUGGUACACAGAAAGAAAACCAAGCCUACAGGAGGUAGGUAAAUUGAUCCCCCGUUGUUCUUGUACUAACCAAACAUAAUGAACUUCCAAAGAUAGCCUGAUGGGGACUCAAACAAGUACCUAGUUGCUUCAGUAAAACAACAGCAAUGUUGAAUACUGCCGGCGUCAGAAUAUUAGUCCACAGACAAUUGCAUUGUAUUUUACCCAAAUGACUUAUACGGUGUGUCAUAGCAUAAAGAUCAACCUGGGGCUGUAUCAGAGUGCAUUGAGAUACUUAACUAAAGUACACAUCUGGGCAAUCCGGGUUGUGGCAACUACGCAAUAAAGUCUAAUAACAUAAAAGCAAUUUCAAAACUAGAUCACCAUCGCUUUUGACGAUCAUGUGAUUUAAGAGUACCUUAAUUAAUCUAACAAUGUUCUGAGCAUAAAAGCGUUCAAUAAGAAACGUAGUAAAGAAAUCUUUGUUGUAGCACAAUGUAAUGUAUAAAUAGCCCCAUACCUUAGUCUGGGGUUAUAGCAUGUUAAAGCUCCUGUCAUGCUAAGAUUAAAAAUGCUUUCACAACCUUGUUUGAUGUCUCUUCUGAUAUAUAUAGGCCAGAAUUUUUGGGAUAGUUUCAUUCUUGAAAACAUGGAACAUGCAAAAGGUUGAGAAAAAGAAUGUAUCUUUUAAGUCAAUUUACUAGAAUUUCAGUUUUUAAUCCAAAUAGUCACUAUUAACAGAAGAAAAGGAGGUAUUAGUUAUUUAUGCGAUUCCAACCUAUCAUCCAGUUGACACCAGUCAAUUGGAGAAUGUUACCUGAUUGAACUCAGACCAGCUUGACUUGGGCUGCAGUAUAUUGUCAAGAGCCAUGCUGAGUCUUGCUGUUACAGGGGGAAAAGGAAACAAUUUAGCAAUGAUCCUUUUGCCCAAUUGAACUCUUUCUUCACAUCCUUUUGUUUAAUUUAAUUUCCAGUUUAUCUUUCACAAUCACUAAUAAGUGACCAAAAAACAUGUAGAUGUUGACCAUUUACCUGAUUCCUGGAGGUUCAAUCUGGUCACCAUGCUUGUUCCGCCACAUUGCCAGUAUCAAUUCAAGAACAAAUAGGGUGAAGGUCAGUGAUAGCUAGUAUUGCAUCAACACUUUAUUACAUUUCACAAUUCACACCCUUGCGUUUAGGCAAUAUUUCUGCUAGAUCCCUCAAAUUCUAAAAUAAAUUACAUUAAGAGCCUCUGACAGACAAUGAAGGACAACCUAGGCUCACCUCACAAAAGGUUCUAGCCUAAAUACCAACUGCAUGGAGUAGGGAGGAUGUUGUAUUGCAAGAUCGUGGUGGAAGCUUUGGUUUUUCACACCCUUGAUGUGGUAGCAGAAACAAUUUAAUAGGAAUAGUUUCACGAACUAAUCCAAAAAACAAAUCAGGAGUUGAUACAUGAUAGUACCCCAAAAGGAAAACCAAGAUUCAACAAGAAUCCCGUCUAGAUUCAACAAGAAUCCAACCUUGUAAACACUCAAGCAAAGGAAAAAAAUCCAACGCAGAAGUAUUAAAAUUUAAUAAUAAUGUCAAAAGCUGUCCAAAUAAAUCCUAGGAACACUUAUUUAUGGGCCUUAAGUAUUAUAAACCGAAAAGGAAAGAAAAUACACUUGAAAUCAGCAAAAACGAAUAAAAUCAGAAUAGCAGCCACCUUAGAAUUUCUUUAGUGUGUUGCAGAUCUGCAUAGCAGAUCCAAAAGGGGAGUCUCAGCCCCCAAUCCGCAGCUGGACCUGAUCUGCAUGCAGAUCACUUUGAGAAACAGAUCCUGCACUAUUUUUCCUUCCUUCUUCCUUCAUGUACUCCUUUGUCGACAAUUAUAGCUAAUAAUAGGAAAACUAAAUAAAAAUAACUAAAAAUACUAAUCAAAACUAUGAAAACUACCCUAACUAAGAAUCCUAAAACGGCACCUUGGGCGGCUUUAUUGAUACGGACUACGGACGACGGAUUAAUGAAUCUAGGAUCCUUGUUCGGGAUCAGCCACAAGUGGCCCCCUCGAGGGUGAUGGCUUUUGGGCCCAUGGCAACAUUUUAAUUUUUCCCCAAAUUUCAGAUCUUACUACUUUUGUCCUUUAAAACUUUCCAGAAAAAGUCCCAAAACUUACAUAGGUGCAAUUAUUUUCUCAAUGGAGGCCAAUUGGGUAAAACUUCAGGGGUAAAUACUGUGAAAAAAAAUAAAAAUGGUAAUCUUACCAAACACAAGCUAGGUGAUGGCACUAAAAAGAACAAGAAUUUUUCAUAGAAUCAUGAAAACGAAUAAGCAUAUAAAACUACCUAUAUAAUGCUUACCAACUUAUAUCAGACACAUCAAUGUCCUCCGUCUUCAAAGCAAACCCCAAAUCUUUGAGCAAACAAAUCACAUUUCGUACAACGAUGUGUGGUGGUAUAUCAUUCUGAAAGAGAAAGAAAGCUUACUUAAGUUCAAGAUGAAUAAGAAACAGUAGCGGCACCAAGAUAAAGUGCUGGAAAUGCAUACCCCAAGUGCAAUGAAGUAGCGAAAUCUAUCAAUGGGACCGCCAGCCUUAUCAAAAACAUUAAGCAUCAAUCCCAUAGAACGUAUUGCAUCUUUCAUUUGCCUGCACCUGUUCAACUCCUCAUUAUGGGCAGUACCCAUUAACUUAACCUCUUGAUCAAGUAAUAAAGCUAAUUCUUUUAGGAUGCACUGCCCAAUAAAGGAUCCAUCAACACUGUUAUCAAUAGCCGGAGCAAGUAAUUUUUCCCUAGCAACCAACAAUAGAGCAACAAGCUGAACAAGUCUCCCCUCAUGAACAUUUGAGGAACUUAUCACCUGCAACUCUUCAGUAUGCAAGGCCAGCAGUUUUAAGGUCUCCAAUGGCUCUGCCUGUCAAAAGGGAUAACCGAUCAAAAAGGUGAACAACAUUCCUAUACUAGUUUAACGACAUACAAUUGUGACAGGUGAAAAGGUUUAAAGAAAGAAGGGAAAGACGGAAGCACCAUUUCCGGCAGGCAAAAAAUAUAAAUUAGCUUGAAGAUCGAUUUAUUGGGACUCCAAUCACGCAGGAAUGGAUGACAGCCUAUUGCCUCAAGUGCCACACUUAGAGGGAGCUUUCCACUAUAUCUUGACCCAUGAACGCUGCAAGGAAGGGAAGUUAAAGCUCCAUGCUUCAGAAAAACAUCUGUAAGGCCGCAACAUAAAUUUUCAGCUGCAUAGUGCAAUGGGUAAAACCCACAUUUGAGCGUCACAUUAAGAUCCACAGAUAGUCCCGUCUUUCCUUCCAGCAAUGCCGUGGCACAAGCUAAUGCUUGGUGGGAACAUAUCCACAUCAGCACAUCCUUUGAGUCAAGUACAUUUUCGUUAGUCACAGAAUUCUUCUUUUCCAACACCCUUCUAACCAACGAAACAAAUCGAGACUUAUUAUCAAUCCGAAUAAGAUCUUCAACUUGCUUAUGCAACCUAAGUGCUUUCUCACAGUUGCAUUUCUGCCAUAUCAACAGAAGCUGGUAAAGAUACAAAAGGGGGAGAGAAACAAAGGAAAAAAAAAUGACCAAGGAGUACUUUAUUUGCACAUAGUAUUCACAUGUACCACCAUCCAAGAUGAAUAAGAACACCCACCUACUUCAAAAGAAUUUUGUAGAUGUCAUUGCAUAUUCAAUACCAUGCAAGAAGUCUUUACACUUUUGUAACGGCCUUCUACCUAAACAUCUUGCACAUACUGGGGAAAAGAAAAACUAGGAUGCAACAGAAAAGCUACACUACAUUCCUAACAAUGCAAAUAGGUUCAACAAGAAAGCAGAACUACUGAGGACAACAACCCACUCAUUCGCUAACCUUGCCAACUCAUUGGAACCAACAAAAGUAUGACUAGGAAAGCAAUCAGCAGAUGACACAAAUAACCUCACGAAGGAUCAGAAAUGAUAUCAUCUCAAACAUAUAUGUUCCUAACUUACAAAGUGAACUUCGGUCUUUUAUUUCUUUCAAGGACACCUGUUACACACUCAAACCUAUGCUUAUUUCCAUGUUUAGGUUACUCUGAAUUCCAAAUCAUGGAUAGCUUAUGAAGACCACAGCAUAUAAGUGCAAACAAUGCUCGUACCAGUAGUACAGAGUUGUGGACAGAUCCAUUAUAUAGAUUAUACAAGAGUACGUAAAUUAAUGCGCCUGAGCAGGAAUUCAGUUACCAAAAGCAAAUUGAAGGCGAAACAUGAUAGUGAGACAAAAUCAAGAUUUAAAACACGUGCAAUUAACACGAAGUUUGAUGCCAAAAUCAACGCAUGAUCUGCAGUAGUUGGCAAAAAAAUUAACCAGAGUUCUGUCUUUAAUAGUAUACUCUUCUUGGGAGAACAAUUUAGAAUGACUUUUUUCAUAACGUGCUGCUCUGGAAAUUGAACCCGGAGAAAUUCUGUUCUAAAUAGAUUUUCUUUUCUGUUGUCCCAAAAAAAUAAUAGAAAAGAAAAACAUUAAAAGUAACUUUUUUUUCACCCAAUUCAAUGUACUGCUCUGAAAAUUGAAUUCGAACAAAUUUUGCCUAAACAAAUUCUCUUUUCUUUCUUUUUUUCAUACACAAAAACAGAAAACAAAAGCGUGAAAAAUUACAUCUUUUUCAGCUAAAACUACAGAAGCCAAUUGCAGUAUUUUUUUUUAAGCACACAAAAGGUGGGGCUGGACAAACAAAAGCGUGAAAAAUUACAUCUUUUCCAGCUAAAACUACAGAAGCCAAUUGCAGUAUUUUUUUUUUUCAAGCACACAAAAGGUGGGGCUGGACAAACAAUUUCCUUUUUGUUUCUCAAGUGUCUUGAAGGCAUAUUAUUUCUCCAUUUUUAUUUUUUCUGUUCCUCAAAAGAAAUUUAGCAAUAGACAGAAAAACAGAAAAUAAGGAAAGCAAGAGAGUGAAAAUACCACAUAAUCAAGCAUGUUGACCUCUCAGACUUAGACUCAGCUCCUGUGAAGCUCCUAAGGAAAAAGUAAAAAAUCAGGGUGUUUUAUGUUAUCAGAAAGCAAACCUCAAAGAAACAAGGGCAGAAGACUGAAAAUAAUAAGAGAUUAAACCAGGAUUUUCUCCACCUUUUUCCCUUCUGAGUUUUAGGCGAAAAGAGACCGAGCAAAGGUCUCACCUUUAAUGUCUGGCGUCCUGGUGUGGUAGAUCAUAGAUGGGAAGGCACUCCGCCGCGACCGCGAUUCAGAAAGUUUUUUUUUUUUUUUUCCGGGUAGGGGGCAUGGAGUUUUUAAUUAAGGCAGCGUUUGAAAUUGAAGGGAAGGAAUGGAAAGGAGAUGAUCUAAUGGAAAGGAAAAGUAACGCGCAUUUUUUUUUUUAUUGAAAAACACAUAUGGGAGGAAAGCAAAGAAAACUAUCACACUUGUUUUUAUCCAAAAACACAUUAUAGGAAUUUUAGAAAAUUUAAAAUUUUCAAUUUUGAUAUUCCUUUUCUCCAUUCCCACCCACUUUCGAAACCUAACCAAAAAUAGUGAAACCUUACCCCUCAUUUUUUUUCUUCCAAUUCUUUUUUUUUCCCUCCUCAAAAACCAAUAUAAACGUCAUUACUCCAUUUCCUUUCCCUUCCCUCCCAUUCCCUUAGGGUCCGUUUGAUUCAGGGAUGACAUAUAAUUACAUUAAUUAUCCUGUGUGAUCCCAUAUUUAAUUGCAUUUUACGCUUAAGAUGACACAUUCUAAUUAACAGAAUUAAUCCCCCAUUCAUGGGAUAAAAUAAUACCAUGAGGGAGAUAGUCAUCUUAGUGUUUGGAUUAGGAAAAUUUGAAAUAAAAAAAUUUACUUCACAAAUUCCAAUCAUCUUUUUAUCUUUCCAAUCACCUUUUUAUCUCACGUACAUCACAUCAUAAAAAGUGCUACAGUAAUUAUCUCAAAUAACUCAUCCAGAUAAACUCAUAUCCAAACAAACUAUUUAGUCAUCUUGGGAAAACUAAGGGAUAGGAUAAUAAAAUUUUAAAUUAAUUUACCCUCACAAAUAAUAUAAAUUUAUACUCUCAUAAUUAUAUAACCUUACCCUCACGCAGUAAUAUAAUAUGAAUGGACUAAUUUGUCCCUACUAAUUAAUUUAAGGUUUUUUCACUAUUUUGCCCCUACUACCAACAUAAUAAUAUUUGGACUAAUUUGUCAUUGCGAAUAAUACAAAUGCAUACUGAAUAUUAUAUAACUAUUCUCUCACAUAAUAAUAUAAUAAUAAACGGACUAAUUUACGCCUACUAAUUAUAUCGAAUUUUUUUACUAUUUUGUCCCUUUUCAUUAUUUUAAAUUUUUGACAAAUUACUCCUAUUAAUUAAUUUAAAUUUUUAAGCUAAUUUACCCCUACUUAUAUCAUAAUAAAAGGACUAUAUUGCCCUUGGACUAAAUUGCCCUUACUAAUUUAUUUUCCCAACCAAAUUCUAUAUAAAUACACACCCUUAUCAAUUGGGUUUUGCAAAUGAUGCUUUCAAUAAGCCCAACCUUAAUCCAAAGAAAAAUUUUCGAUAUAGAAGAAAAUAUUCUCUAUUAGGCGGGUUGGAUUUUAUUAAAUUUAAUCCUAACUUAGCCAAAACUCAACCUAUUAUUUAAUUGAAUUUCAAAUUUAGAUUGAAAAAAUCAUGUUAAAAUCUAUUUUUAAGGGUUCGAAUAGACUGAGUUUAAGUGAAUGCAAAUUUUUAUAUGUCAAAACCCCUUAUCAUAUAUAUAUAUAUAUAAUAAAGUCGUACUCUCAUACUUAUCCCUUCAUAUUUUCUCUUUCCUACAUGGCUUAACGAGAUGACAAGUAGUUUCCUACGUGGCUUGCUCCUUUUUUGUUUGGAUAUAUAUCAAUUAUUAUUUCCUAUAAAAAUUCUUAAUAUUAUAUGAUUCUUAUUUCCUACCCAAAAAAAGGAACUGGAAAGUAAUGCGAUAUAAAUAAAAAAGACAUAAAUCUCCUCUAUUAGAUAUAUAGGAAUAAAUGAUAAUAUAUUUUUUUAUAGUGUCCUAUUCUUUUUUUUUUAACAUUUUCAUUAUAGAUCCUUUUUAUUUUAAGAUAAUCUACUCAUAUAUAGAACAACAUACAAACAAUCUAGAUAUGAAAAUUAACGAAAGUUAGCCCGUGAAAGUUUUUACAAGAUUCACAAUCCCCAUGCAUAAUUAAUGUACAAAGAAAAAUGGCAUUUCAUCUUAUUGAAAAAUUCUGAAAAAGUCCAUAAAGAAAAUGGAGUGUCAUCAACCAAAGAAAUAAAAUCCCAUUAUCAUAGCUAAAGAAAUAUGAGAUAAAACAUUAGAUAUUUGUUGAAGUUUUGCACCCCGAAGGCCCCUACCCGACCCUCCGUCCGUAAUGUCCUCCAAUCCAAGAGAAUGGCCUCCGUCCGUAGUGUCCUCCGCCCGUCUUUUUUUUAAAUAUAUUUCUGCUAAUAAUUCCUUAAUCACAAUACAUCUCUGCCCAAAUGGAGGGGAGUAUUUCGUGUGUAGACCCAUAUCAUAGGAGUCCAUGCACUUAAAUGACUCGAUAUAGUGGAGAUGGUCUUUUAAGGUCGGUAAAAUCUAUCUUGAUAACGCAUUUGUAAAUUUAUUACGUACAGGUUUAUAUACGUGCAUAGUACGGGUCACAUAAAGUCUUAUUUCCUACCCAUAGUUAUUUGGACGAUUAUGAUUUUAUUUCCUAUAAAAAUUCUUAAUAUUAUAGCAUUCUUAUUUCCUAGCCAAAGUUAUGUACUUUAAACAAUUUAAAUUAAGAUAAACAUACUUUUAAUGUUCUUAUCAAUAUUUCUUUGUAUUCUUAUCAAUUCUUAUUUCUUAUGUGUACACUACAUAUAGCCUCUAAUAUAUUGAUUUCAAGUAUCAAAUUCAUGGUUAGAUAUUUUCAGUGCAAAGCGGUUGGCAUAUUAAAGUAUCGAUUUUGGAUUUCCACUCCUCUUGAUUAUCAAGUACAUAUUCUUUCAAUAUUAUAUAUAUAUAUAUAUAUAUAUAUAUAUAUAUAUAUAUAUAUAUAUAUAUAUGGCAUGUUGAUCUUCAAUUGUAAGAGUUUAGUAACAUAUCUUGAAUUUUAUUUAUUUUUUAUUUUUUGUUUUAUUUGUUUUGUAUGAAGACAUAGGAUUUAAACAAGUACUUUCAUCGUUAUUUUUGUAGGAUUUUUUCUAACAUGUUUGUUAAUUGAUUUUUGUGAUCAUAUACUACGAUGUUUAUUAAUUUGCCUUCAGGAAAAACAACAAAAAACAAAAGGCACUGAAAAGUAAUGCGAUAUAAAUACAAGAGACAUAAAUAUCUCUAUUAGAUAUAUCUGCAAAUUCAUUAGUUAAUUAAAAGACUCUGGUCGUUUACUUAAUUAUAAUCUUUACGUAUUGUUAUACACAAACUUGAAUGCGAUAAAUCAUUUUUUUUAUACUUAGUUAUCCUAUUUUACUAUCAUGCAGUGAUAAUAGAAAAUCAAUAAACGCUGAUUUGCACGAACAAAUCGAAGAGAAUGUUUAAACAAAACAAAAACAAAAACAAGUUUCUGAAUAGUAGAAUAUUAUUUGAUACUAUUUACUGCACUUUUUAUUUAUUUUCAAGUUUUUGAAUGUUAUGAUAUUGUUGAAUGUUAUUUUUUCUAUUUUUGAAUUAUUAUUCACUGAAUUAGAUGUUCAAAUUUAUAUUAUAAGAAUACUUUACAUUACAAUGUGCACAUAGUAAUAUACUUAAGACAAGUUAUAAUAGAUUAUACAUUAAAUAUGUAUUUUAUAUCGACAUUUUUAUAAAUUGACUAAAGUUUAUUAUUUUUCGACGAUUCCCGUUCAAUGAACGGGUACAAAACUAGUUUCAAAUAAUUCUAAAGUUUCAAAUAAUUAUUUGCUUUAUAAUUCUAAAGUUUCAAAUUAUUAUAUUUUAAUAAAAGAAUUUGAUUUAAGGGGUAUUUUGGUCAUUAAAAUAAUAAUUAUAUCUCAUCCAAUCUCCAACCAAACACAAUAUAUGAUUAUUCCUAAUAUAUCCUAUCCAAUCUAAAACAACCAAACACUGGAUAACUUGUAUUAUUAAUCCCAAAAUGAUUCAACCCAAGAUUAAUAAUCCGAUAACGAGUCAUUUCAUUCUUUCCAGUUUGUGAACCAAAUGAACCUUUAAAACAAAUAGUGCAUGAAAAAAAUAGUCUGUUUGUUUGGAUAAAAAUUUAUUUGGAUGAUUUAUUUGAUCCAGUUACUGUAGCACUUUUUGUGAUGUGAUGUAUGUGAGAUAAAAAGGUGAUUGGGAAUUGUGUGUACGAUACAAGCAAAACAAAAUCUGAAAUUUUUAUUCCAAAUUCUUGUUGUCCAAAUAAACUCAGUAUAUCCAUCACCAAUAAAAUGGUAAGGGUUGAAGGUAAGAGUGUUCAGGUAAUUGGCGAUCUAGUAAAAAAAAUUUUGGGAAUUGGUUUUUUAAAAUCAAUAUCCAAUUACCGUCCAAUCUUUUGUUUGGUAAAUUAGAUCAAAGAAUCGAUAAAUUCGGUAAUAUCUGAAAUCCAAAAUAUCAAUAAUGAGUUAAAAUAAUUUUAUUUUUCUAUAAAAUAUUAUUCUAACAGAAUAAUAUCUCAUAUUUUUUCAACAAAAUUCAAUCAACUUAGCACAUGAUUUGUUUGCAAGUUCAUAAUCUUAAAUCCUAACUCAUAGUUUCAAUUUUUUAACAACAUUGAAAUAAAUAAGAACUCUGUCUGCAAUUUCUCAUAAAUUGUAUGCGGGUAGGUUUUUUUUUUUUUGCAUCAAUAUAUUAAAAUUUGUUCAUACCCUAAAAGUCUCCGAGUCGUUCAUGGAUAUCUGAUGAGUCAGUACGGGUUGACUCGGAUGCUCUUUUGGGUCCGGGAGUCUACUCAGCCCGAAUCUUCCGAGUCUGAACGAAUUCGCACCGGGUCUACUAUCUCCGGUGACGACUCAGCCGGAUCUACUGGGACUCGGCCGAGUCUUUGAACCAUGGACUCACGUACAUGCCUAAUCUGUCAUGCAUUUUUCUUAUUAUGCAAUUUUUGGGUGAACGGUGCAUCAAAAAAUAAGGAUGCCCUGAGAAGAGAGCCAGUUUGAAAAGGUGACAAGUCGAGACCUUUGGCAAUCUUUUUUAGCAGACAGAGACACAAAAACAUAAACGAACGAUCUUUUUUCUUUUCUCCUUGGUGCGAUCAACUUUUGUCUCACUUAAUUGAUUUGAUUUAUGCAAAUGCUCUCUCAGACGUCUGCAGCCGUGUGGUUUUUCCAGCAGGACAAAAAAUCAGAGAAUUUUUUCUGGCAGCUGAGCUGAUUUUGGAUAAGGCAGAAUGGAAGGGGUAUGUAUGAGUAUGAUAACUCCCUUGCUGCAUCGCAUCAUCUUAGAACUUUAUUUUUGUCUUAUAUAAAGUUGCUUACCAAGCAUGUAAUGUCUGAUAUCUUGUAUCUUAGUCACUUAUCUCGUUGCAUUUUCUUUCCUUUCUUCCUUCCUUUCUCAUGUUACAUCAUGAUUAGAGUCAAAUUAUAUUCUUGACUCCCAUCUUUGGUAUUUUUAAUGUCAUAAUACUAAAUUUGAUCAAUUUCUUGCUACAGGGUGAAGUGAUUAGACUGCGUAUAGAGUCUAGGACGCUUGAAGUCUCUAUACACUUAGGCAAGAUUAGUUUAGACAGUUUUUGUUUAUGUAUUGUCAAGUGGCUAUCUAACUUCAAAUUUCUGUAAAUUAAGUGACUUAAGAUCAUCCGUGUGUACAUUUUGAUGAUCUGAAUGAAAUAGCAUGACAGCAUGAUCUUCUGCGGCCACAUGAAUAUUUCAACGUCAUUCACCCAGAUAUGUUGCUUCUCCCAAGUUUUAGGUUUUAUUUAUAAAUUGGGAAAAGUAGAUUGCUCGCUUGAAAUUUCUUGUGUUGUUUUGUUUAUUUGUACAACUAUUUUAAUCAUCAUGAAUGUUGAAAUAUGGUCCUUGCCUCUGAGUUUGUGCUUUCUCUAGACUCCAAGAGUAACUGUGUUGGUUCUCUCUCUCUCUAUGAUUCUUAUUAUUUUCUAUUAAAGCAGAGGGUACACACUUUUCGGCCUCCAGAAGGAUAUGUGGAUGAAGAAAUGGAAGACUAUAUCAAGAAUGGUUAUCCUUCCCUAGAAGAUGAAAUUACUUUUGCUGUCUCACAUGAUAAGAAAGAAACAUUUGUUACUUGGAUAAAUGGGAUAACCUACAAAAAUGAUAUACCUCGAUGGUGUGUGGAUCGUAUGUUUCUUUUUGACUCCAUAAAUUGUAUGGAUGCUGUUCUGAAUGGAGAAAUGACAGGAAAAAUUGAUUUUACUGUUGAUGCUGUUCCACACAACAACCAUGGGGAACUUCCUGCAUUGCAUAAAGCAGCUACUAGUCAGGCCUGUAGACUGACUGAGUUAUUUCUUGGUAUUACGGAUCAAGCAAAUGUCAGAUUGGAUUUUAAGGAUGUAAAAGGGUGGUUGCCGCUGAAUUUUGCUCUUGAGAAUUUAAGGUAUGAUUUACUUCUAAAUGGAUGAUGCCAACAUUAGUUGCCGUGUUUCUGAUCCUGUUUAUGAUAGUAAAGUAUAAAUCGGAUGGAAGAUCUUCAAAAUUAGUUUGACUGGAUGGUUUUGUUGUAUCCCUUUCACACAUCACAGGUCUCCAAGCUCGAUGCCUGUGUGGAUAAAUUCUAAAGGAGACAAGCAUAAAUCCUACUGGAUGGCUAAUCCAAUACCACAGGGACCAACUGAGAUGGUCUUCAAGUUACUUUAUUAUCUGCUUUGGCCGUUUUCGGUUUGUACUCAUAUUAGGCUUUGUUAUUUUCAUUUUUUUUUUGUUAAGCAUAUGUUUUGGUUUCUUUAAAGGUUUAAUUUAUAUAGGUAACUUAAUAUUGAUGCAUUUUGCUGCUAUAUCUGUAGUCCUGGAAAUCGCAUGAAGACUCAAAGCCACUUAUGAUCCCCCUGGAGUAGUUCUGAAUACUCCCCUUCUAUUUGCCUUUCCCGUGACUCUCUUCCUUUCUCCCCUCCCCCAGCUCUGUUUAUUUGAGAAAUUUUGCAUAUGGCUCUUGUGCAACUAUCUGAAUUUGCAACGUUAACCUGAAUUUGCAACGUUUUCUCUUCUUUUCCUGUUUGUGCAUUUGCACAAGACUGUCAUUCCAAGUGUAUGGAUUUCCCUUCUGUUUUGUGGGAGGCGUAUAUGCAGUAAAUGAAACUUUUUGUAUGGGAUUUGUUAAGGCAUGGUUAUAAUAAGAACAGUAAUUGAGAAUUCAAGUCAGAUUAUGGUUGUAGUUUCAAUAGGUGUCACGAUUGAUGUCUGCAGCAAUUAUCUCAUCUUUUUUUUUUGUUGCUGGGACAGAGAUCUGCUCUGGAAGUUGUGAGAUUGCUGGCGCAGAAGACCAAAGAAGUUGAAUUUGAAUUUUUUAAAUAUGUGAAAGAGCAGAAACUGGUUGAAUUAGCAGGCUUGUUGUUGGUGGCUCAUGAAAAGGUUAUGCCUGGUUUAGAAGAACGUAUGAAGAUCCGCAAUUUUGUCUUGAAAGAAGCUGCAUUUCUGAAUUUACAAGAAAUCAGGUCCUUGUAUGGCUCUGGUGAUGAGAAGUCCCUACAAGAGGUGAAAAAGAAGAAGGUGGAGAUGGAGGCAAUACUAUUAUUACUUGAAGUAUUUGACAGAAUUGGUGAUAAACUUUCGGCUUAUGUUCAGAUAGUGCGAAAACUGGUAUUGACUAGUUUUACCUCUUCAAGGAUUGAGGUGGUCACUAGUUUAAACUAAAUCCUAAUAGUUAAACUAGAGAAGCAUACAAUGUGUACUCCAAGCUUCUCUUCUUUGGUUGUGUUGAUGUCAUUAUAUUGUUCAACAAAUUCGGUGUUAUGUUCCACUUUUUGAAUUUUGGAUGUGAGAUUUGAUGCAUGUGAAUUGUAUUUCUGUGAUAGGUGGGAGAGGAAUAUCACGCCAAAGAAAUUGGCUGGAUCUUGGAGAAAGCUGGAUUUUCCGUGAAGCUUGAACUUUUUGAUGAAACAAGCAGGUUUUGGUGUCAAGGACUUUUUCCCUCCUCCACUCCCUUUUCUCUGACUAUCUAGUGAUACUGUACCACAGUACAUGGACUUAUUCCAAACAGAGUUUUCCUUGCAGCUUAACAUGACAGAAUUUAGCAUGAGAAGUAAAAGGAUCUGACAACUGCAUUUCGGUGAUAACAUCAUCCCCUGAAACACUUAACUUUGUACUGGAAUUGCGCAGAGUAGAAAACUAUAGUUAUCGUUAUGGUGCUCAGACAACGGCAACUUGUUAUGUUUUAGAUUGAGAUGCAUUGUGCUUACUAAAAUAUCUGAAUGUAGCCCAGGUUGCUUGCUUAGAACUCAGACAUUUUUAUGUCAAACUCUAGCUUAUUGCUUGGCUUUAAUUCCUAUUACUAUGCCAAGGAUCCAGUCUAAGUGCAAUUCCAAUUCCCAAGUCCAGCACUUGCAUUUAUGAUGUUUGCUGUUUGCAUUUGAUUUGCUCAUAUUGACUUAGUCUUACUAUUUAGCUCUAUAACUUGUUCUUGCCCUUCUCACACUGCAAAAAUUUGCAGGGGAAUAAUUCGGCAUGAGUGGUAUUUACCCUUUCUAGGUGAUUCUUUUGUACCUACUCAUGCAAACAUGUUUCUUAAACUUAUAAAGGUGAAUUGGCUCAAGAAUUGCCAUUAACUUGUGUAAUGAUGCAAAAUACAGGGGACACAGGUGCAGAAGACACCUUUUACAUUCUUAAUCGCAUCAAACGUUUGGAGUCACAUAAGAUGGCUUUGGGUUAUCGAAAAGUAUGUCAGUUAUGUACAUCACGUCCUAUAUUCUUUAGUUCCGGUUGUUUUUGGCUCUACCUUAGUCUCUUGGACCAUAACCUUUGUUGCAUAUAGCUUGUUCAUUUGCAUUACACUGAAACUCGAGACCAUAGCACAAUUCAGGCCAUUACAAUAUUCAUUUAAAUCAACAUCAUAGAAAUUUGAAGAAAAUGGUAACUUGUUAUGUCCUGUAGUAAACUAAUACUGUCAUUCAAUUUCCUGCCUAUAUAUCUGAUGCUAUUCUGAUCUAAAUCUUGUAGUAUGAUACAUGAAUAGGAUUUUGUACAUUGAUACUGGAUACAUGGUCCAACUAAAGUACUUCUGCUGCUUGUCUCAUUUUAUAAGCUGCCUUCAAUCUGUGGGACGCCUAUUCAGCAAGUUGUAGCAUCUUCAAGUAGCUCCUCCCAAUGGUCUUCAGCUUCUGCUCUAAAAUCAUUUCAUACAUUCCAUCCUGUGAGGGCCAGUGGUCGGUGUUCUGGUUCUGCUACAUGGGAGAAUAAAGCAUGCAACUGGUUGUGGGAUUUGCCAUGCAAACGUGGUCUUCUUAGAGAUAGCCAGGAUCUCCCUUCAGCCAAUAGGGUGCUAAACAUGCAAUACAGGAAGGUAUGGGCUUGUGUUGUGGCAACUUUAAAAAGGGGAACAAGGCUCAUCUGAACGAUUAUUGAGGUGGCCCUUAUUUUUCCUCCGUAUUGGUAGUAUUGGUGUUAUACCUGGGGCCCGUAUUUCUUACGCUUGUUUAAUGGAAUGUUUUGAAGUAUUGGAGAUCUUAGCAUUUGUUCAAGUAGUUCAGUGUAAACAAUGACACCGUACUAUUGUAUGACUAUUCUGCAUGCACCUCUCUUGAAGGUUAUUAGUAGGAAGAUGGCUGCCAAUGACUCUGUGUUCUUGGCCCUUUCUGCUAUGAAAUUUAUACCCUUGAAAUCACACAUAUUCAAGUUUCAUGAUAUGUUCAACUGCAGGUUUGGUUUUUUGUUCAGUCAGUAUCUCUUAACGUGCCUGAAAUUGGUUUGGCACUUCUGUAUUUGCUUCCUUAGCGAUAAUUGCACGGCAUAUGUUGUUAGCUGGCCGUUGUUGCUAUUGAAAGGAAACGUCUUGCUGAAAAUGCUGCAAGGACCAUAUUUCUUCUGUUUCUCGCUAAAAUUAAAGACAUCGCAUUUGAUUGCUUGGAUGGUGUACGUAUGCAUAAGUUUGCUCGUUGUCUAAAUGACUAAGAGGCUCUAAAUCCCUAUGGCUUGUGGUUUUGUCUCGCAUCUCUUCUAUAGUUUCAUGCAAAUAUGGUGAAACUUUAAUUCAUUGGGCUUGUACUUUGUACUGCAAUCGAUAAGACGAUAAGUAUGCCUUUUCAAUCUUCUUAAAGAUUUGUCUGUUUUUCUGCAUCAACAGAAUUAGGAGUUAGUACCAUGUCAAAUUUGAUCUCUAUAUCCUAAACUGUGGCCCGUUUUUACUUAAUUACCAAAAAGUUUUCCCAUCUUUUUCUGUGUUCGUAUAAAAUCCAACAUAUAAAGAUCAAACAGAUACUUGGCCAUUUAUAUUCUGUCGCAGGCCAAUUUUCUUGCUUCUCCCACCUAGGUAUGGUUUGUAUCUUUAUUCUCCUUCUCUUCUUCUUGUUUUUUCUGUAACGAGAAAAAAAAAAAGACAAAAAGAAUCGUCCUUUCUAAUUGGAAAAUUUGGUGAAUGUUGACUUUAAAGUUAAUCAAGCUUAACUCCCAAUCGUGAAACAAUUGUAAACCCUUUAACCAUAUAUUAUAUAGGGUUGAACAUUGAAGUCUUACACUUAUUACGCUUAUUUAUGUCACUAUUUACAAAUAACGUUUUUUCAAACUUUAGUGGGGCAAGGGUAAAAUGUAAAAACUAGUAAGUUUUGGGGGGCAAGUAAUUAAUUGGGAAAAUAUUCGACAGCUUUCUCGAGAUUUGUCAUAAUAUUUCUUCACAUUCUUGAGGUUUGUAAAAUUUUCUCUUACCUCCCUUAUAUGUUUGAUAAGAGAAGGGAUGCACAUUAAAGAUGAUAAUUAAUGAUGUUACCCCGUUCAAUCUAAACAAUUGUUAUUGUUUAGCAAAAUCUAUCCAACAAAAAAUAACUUUUGAAGUAAAAAAAUGUAGACAACAAUUAACUAAAUGGCCAUACCAAAUGGGCAACAUUUUGGGCGUUAUUUUAAUUAGCUACUAAAUAAAAGUAGAAGUUCUGUUGGAGGUUUCAAAAUGCCUUAAGGUUAUAAUUUGACAUAUUUUGCUAGAAGAUUCUCUUUAAUUUUUGUAUUUUUGCCUAUUUUGCUACUAAAUUUGUUUGCUCAUCUUGAUCUAAUUUAUGCAGUUGAAGCAACUGUAGCACUAGCUACAAUGAUGAUUAAAAUAUAGGAAAAAUGAUCAGUUUCAUUCCUCAAAUUAUACAAAAAUAUUCUUUUUGUCUCUCACUUUUAAAAUAAAACAAAUUUGUUCUUGACAUUUAAAAAUUGAAACUAUUAUAUCCUUGAAAUCAAUUUUCAAUCUGAAUUUAACCACUCAACAACUCGAUUAUAAAUUUCAGGAAUAUAAUUGGUAGAUCACUUGGUUAAGUCAACUUAAUAUUCACAUGAAAUUUAAUAAACCCAAAAAGAAAAAUAGAAAAUUAUAACAUAAAACAGAAAAAUUAAUCUUUCCUGCAUGAUCAUUGUAUACAUUGACGGGAUUAAAUACUUGUCACCUCAUUUCAAUUUAAAUUUAAAUACCAAACUUUAUAUAUAUGAUAUACAUCUUGGGACAGCAAUACUCGGUAUGGCUCUUGACAAUAUACUGCAGCCCAAGUCAAGCUGGUCUGAGUUCAAUCAGGUAACAUUCUCCAAUUGACUGGUGUCAACCGGAUGAUAGGUUGGAAUCGCAUAAAUAGUAGUAAUAUCUCCUUUUCUUCUGUUAAUAGUGACUAUUUGGAUUAAAAACUGAAAUUCUAGUAAAUUGACUUAAAAGAUACAUUCUUUUUCUCAACCUCUUGCAUGUUCCAUGUUUUCAAGAAUGAAACUAUCCCAAAAAUUCUGGCCUAUAUAUAUCAAAAGAGACAUCAAACAAGGUUGUGAAAGCAUUUUUAAAUUGCAAUAUAUACAUCUUACUUAUCCAAGUUUCUCGUAUCACCCUUUUCUAGCGAUGUCCAGUAUAUUUCACUUCUUGUAAUUUUGAAUUUUGCUAUUAUUAAAACAUUUCUCCACAAAUUAUGCCAUCAAUAAAUGAAGGUAAGAUACAAAUGUGGCAAUAUGUCUAUCUUGCAUAUAUCGUGAAAAUUUGAAUGUUUUGACACAAAAUUUUGUUGUUAAAAUUAAGGAUAAAAAAUCAGGUUGACUCACAAACGAAUAAAUUAGUCAACUUUUAAUCCUUCAACUAUUAAGUAUAUACUGUUGUUUUGUAAAGGGUAUAUUUUGCACCCGGUUUGCUAGAGAUAAUUUUAGAAACCUCCACUAAAGUGCAUGUUAAUAUCGCUUGGAAUCCUUAAAGUUUCAAAAUAUCAUUAACCUCCCAUAAACGGUAUAGUUUUUAUGGGAGGUUUUUUUCCAUAAAAACUAUAUCGUUUAUAAUAAUCUCACCCUUGUAUUAUUAAAACAUUCUUAAAAUGAUUUCAAAUUCUACUCUUUUGUGUUAUCUUAUAUCGAAUUUUCUUCCAACUUGAUCAUAAAUAUAAGAUUUACAUAUUUUGCCUAACAAUUUCCUCUUCCAUAAUGUUUGCCUAAAAAUUGUUGAAGCAAUGAAGAUAAAUUUGUCAAUUUGUGUACUAUGCUAGUGAUCAACGGUCCCAUCUCAUUGAUAUAGGAGUCAAGUGAUUGUUCUGAAACUUUAAGUAUACCAAGUGAUAUUAUCAUUAACCUCAAGGAAAUUUUCUAAAAUUAUCUCUAGCGAAAAAUGUGAGGAAUUGAAGAUUAUACCAUUUUAUAAGGUUAAUGGGCAAAAGUAUGCACUUAAUAGUUUAAAAGCUUAUAAGUUUACUAACUAUAUUGUUUGAGGGUCGUUAAGAUAUUUUACCCUAAAAUUAAAUUGUAUUUUUCUUGUAAUUAUUUUAGUAUUUUUAUUGGAGACAUAUAGUUUUAUUUUAGUAAAUUUAGAAACAUCACCAGAUGUUUCCAACAGUAUUACUUGGCACUCUCAAUUUUUGAAAAAUCUUAUUUACCUCCAUUAUUUUAAGUUUUUUUUGUAACAUUGAAAAUCUAUUUCAAACUAUAAUAUUAAAAUACUCAUUUAGGAAAAAGAGAACAUAAUCUCAUUUUAGAUUUGCCUUUUUGUUACCAUAUUCUUUAGUGCAAAAACUUUUUUUUGUCAAUUAUACGUCUUAUUAAUAUAUAAAAAUAAAGAAGGAAAGGGCAUUAGACUAAAACUUCAAAUACAUGGUGAUUGAAAAAGGACAAAUAAAAGAAUAGUACUACUUCCUAACAUAUAUAAUAAUUUAAACACUUGAGUAUAUUAAUAAUAAUUUAAACACAAAAUCCAAAAGCUUGAAGGUUUGAUUCUAAUGGGAUCAAAUAUAGUGCACUUUUGAAAUACAAAAAGUUAAUAUUUCAAAAUUUAUUUGAAGUUUUUGCAAGUGAUAAAAGUAUUAUUUUGUUUAUUGUAAUGUGUACUAAGUUAAUUUAAAGACUUUUAUAAAUUGCUUUCUUUUUCUGAAUUUUUUAGUUCUUUGUCCCAAUCAAUGGUUUGAAAAUAAAAAAAUGUUGAAAAUUAUAUAUAAACUUGUUGUGAUGCUUUCAAGUUGGUACAAAAAGUUAGUUUCAUUAUUAUAAAAUAUUUCAAAUUAUUUUUACAAGUAUUAUAAAUUAUUUGUAAUUUUUUAAGUAUCUUAAUGUUUCUUGUCCAAACUAAUGAUGUGAAAAACUAUUAAAGGAUCUUUUGACUUCUUUAUCAACUUUUAAAUUUCAAUUAAAGAAUCAUAUUGACCAACUUUACUAAAAUCAAGAAAUAAAAUUAAUCUAUUAUGAUAAUUAAGAGUCCAUAAGUAAAGAGUAAAUUUAGAACGAGAUUAUAUUCUACAUUUUAAAAUGAAUUUUUUUAAUAUUAUAUUUUGAAGUGGAUUGCAAAAGUCGGAAAAAAAAAUAUAAAGUAGGGACGGAUUUUUCAAAGUAGGGUACCAAGUGCUACAUGUUAAACCUCAAAGGGAGGUUGAUGAAAUCAUCGUUUGUCGUUUUUUGUACUUUGCACAGCUUUUACGUACUUUGCUCAGCUCUUAUGUUUUGCACCGCUUCAAACCAGAAUCGCGUUCAAACAGAUUGGAAAUUGGGAUAAUUUCAGAAAACUUCCUAAGGUUUUUUAUAAUUUCACCUAGUGUUCUUAAGAUUUUAAAAAUUAUACGUACCUCUUUUAAAUUUAUCGUUUUGAUAAUAAAUACUAUUCAAUGGUUAAAAUUUUGAAUGAAUAACCCAAAAUAUCCUUAUGAAAUCGGGGAAGUUCAUUUUACCUUUUUAAAAAAUUUAGAAGAACAUGCAAAAAAUCACAUGCUCGCCUUCAACAUCCAUCUCUAUUAUUUUAACCUUGUCAUAUUUUCGCAUCUCAAAUUAAUACAAUUAUUAUCAUGACCACCACCACCAUUAAUCCCUAAAUUCUAAAAUUCCAAUUUAAGUUAAAAAAUGCAUUAGUAUUACACAUUAUUUCUGAAAUAUUAGGGUACCAACACUAGUUCCAUUCUUUUUAAACUUCAAUCUAUAUCUUAUUCUAUUCAUCUCCAAAUCCUUAAACAAAUUUUAAAUUAAUUUGUAAUAUAUUAAAAUUGUGUUUAGGACAAAAUUAGUUAUUCCACGAGUGAAUCUUAUUUUUAUUUGUAUUAAAUAUCUAAUUAUAUAAAAUGCAUUCAUAUGCAUAAGAUUAUGAGUGUUUAAUUGCAUAAAAAAUAUUAGUAAUAUAUUAAAAUUAUUAUGGUCAUUUUAUAGGACUAAGGGAAGUAAGUAUAAUUCUAAAAAUUUUAAGGGUAUUAGGUAAAAUUGUUAGUAAUCUCGGGGAAGGUUCUGAAAUUAUCCCUUGGAAAUAAUCUUGUCAGGGCAAGCAAGGGACCGCACUAACCUUUGACCUACCGUAGCCACCUCCUCCCUUGAGUUUGCCUUUCAUCCUUCCGUUGUCCUCUCCUCCCCAAAAUUUUACAUGCCAGCCUCCUCGUCUUCUACGCCCUUUCAUUUUUCCUUCUCCUUUUCUUGAAUCUCUGCCACCCACUUGCUGUUUAGUGAAGAGUUAUGAAAGAGAGAAUUUUGGGUUAAAGAUUGAUUUGUUAUCUCUGUCUGCAAUUUCUCAUAAAUUGUAUGCGGGUAGGUUUUUUUUUUUUUUGCAUCAAUAUAUUAAAAUUUGUUCAUACCCUAAAAGUCUCCGAGUCGUUCAUGGAUAUCUGAUGAGUCAGUACGGGUUGACUCGGAUGCUCUUUUGGGUCCGGGAGUCUACUCAGCCCGAAUCUUCCGAGUCUGAACGAAUUCGCACCGGGUCUACUAUCUCCGGUGACGACUCAGCCGGAUCUACUGGGACUCGGCCGAGUCUUUGAACCAUGGACUCACGUACAUGCCUAAUCUGUCAUGCAUUUUUCUUAUUAUGCAAUUUUUGGGUGAACGGUGCAUCAAAAAAUAAGGAUGCCCUGAGAAGAGAGCCAGUUUGAAAAGGUGACAAGUCGAGACCUUUGGCAAUCUUUUUUAGCAGACAGAGACACAAAAACAUAAACGAACGAUCUUUUUUCUUUUCUCCUUGGUGCGAUCAACUUUUGUCUCACUUAAUUGAUUUGAUUUAUGCAAAUGCUCUCUCAGACGUCUGCAGCCGUGUGGUUUUUCCAGCAGGACAAAAAAUCAGAGAAUUUUUUCUGGCAGCUGAGCUGAUUUUGGAUAAGGCAGAAUGGAAGGGGUAUGUAUGAGUAUGAUAACUCCCUUGCUGCAUCGCAUCAUCUUAGAACUUUAUUUUUGUCUUAUAUAAAGUUGCUUACCUGUUGUUUCCGGAGGAACAGGAAGAAGACGCAACGACCUCUCCUUGUGAUUCUUUUUAAUGCCCCAUUUUUUGUGUUCAACGACCUCACUGGCCACGUCAAUAUCUGAAAUUUUUAAAUUUCAUCACAAAGUCACAGAACUGGAACAUUUGCCGGAUGAUGGUAAAAUGAAACAAAAAAAGUGCCAUACGAAAAUUUAAACGAAUUAGUGAUACAACUGACGGGAAAAGUCAAAGAGUGUUGUAAUGAAGGUGACGUAUACAUGACCUGCGUCGGCGUCCGUAAUAUUCUUGGAAUAGAGGUAAAUUUAAUUAUUAUUAUUAAUUAAAAAAGGGGAGCAUAAUUGGUGCAUACUGACCGAUUGAAUUCGAAAUUGAAUUUGAUAAUUUGAAUCCACUAUGAUGAUAAUUCAGUUUGUGCGCUGGAUUCGAAAAGAACAUUUAGUAUGUAAAUUAAGGAGAAAGAAGUAGUAAUAUGUGAAAUUUUGUAUUAUUUUGGGCUACAAAUUAGAAAUAAAAAUGAUACUAUUGAGAAAGAUAAGUGAUAAAAAGGAUUCAGGGUCUAACAAAAUUGAAUUUGAUGACAUCGUUUUAUUUUAUUUUUUAUUUUUUGUGAAAACGAUUAUACCAUUUUCAGCUUUGAAUUCCAAAAGAGAUAUAGGUACAAGAUAUUUGGAGCUCAAAUAACAGAUAGCAUCGAUUUUAUUGUACUGAGGUACCAAUUUUGUACCAUGGCACACUUCUAAGUAAUGAUUGUAUACUACAUAGGCAUGAGACUAACAAAAUUGCUGUUGAUUAUAGUUAUUUUUUUUAAUUAAUUUUUAGAUGAUAUCUUAUGCAGCAUGUUGGUUUAUCAGUACGACUUCUGUGAUAUCUAUCUAUCCUUUUGAGAACUUGAGAUACAAUGCAAAUAUUUAAACACCGGCGUGGUCCUAAAGAAAGAAAGAAGAUGUGUACUGCUAAGCAUGUAAUAUCUAAUAUCUUGUAUUUUAGUCACUUGUAAUAUUUAAUAUCUUGUAUUUUAGUCACUUGUAUCGUUGCAUUUUCUUUCUUUUCUUUCUUCCUUCCUUCCUUCCACAAGUGACUAAAAUACAAGAUAUUAGAUAUUAUGCUUAGCCGCACACAGCUUCUAACAAUGAUGUAACAUGAGAAAAGUGACUAAAUUACAAGAUAUUAGACAUUACAUGCUUAGCAGCAUGCAUCUUCUAAUAAUGAUGUAACAUGAAAAAGGAAGGAAGGAAGGAAGAAAGAAAGGAAAGAAAAUGCAACGAGAUAAGUGACUAAAAUACAAGAUAUCAGACAUUACAUGCUUGGUAGCAGACAUAUUCUUUUUCAUGUUACAUCACAUUUCAUGCUUGGUAGCAGACAUCUUCUUUCUCUUGUUACAUCACUUAUCUUGUAUUUGAGUCAUUUAUCUCAUUGCAUUUUCUUUCCUUUCUUCCUUCCUUUCUCAUGUUACAUCAUGAUUAGAGUUGGGUUAUAUUCUUGACUCCCAUCUUUGGUGUCAUAAUACUAAAUUUGAUCAAUUUCUUGCUACAGGGUGAAGUGAUUAGACUCCCUAUAGAGUCUGGGACGCUUGAAGUCUCUAUACACUUAUAGCACUUAGGCAAGAUUAGUUUAGACAGUUUUUGUUUAUGUAUUGCCAAGUGGCUAAGGCAAAUUAUCUAACUUCAAAUUUCUGUAAAUUAAGUGACUUAAGAUCAUCCGUGUGUACACUUAGAUGAUCUGAAUGAAAUAGCAUGACAGCAUGAUCUUCUGCGGCCACAUGAAUAUUUCAACGUGAUUCACCCACAUAUGUUGCUUCUCCCAAGUUUUAGGUUUUAUUUAUAAAUUGGGAAAAUUAGAUUGCUCGCUUGAAAUUUCUUAUGUUGUUUUGUUUAUUUGUACAACUAUUUCGAUCAUCAUGAAUGUUGAAAUAUGGUCCUUGCCUCUGAGUUUGUGCUUUUUCUAGACUCCAAGAGUAACUGUGUUGGUUCUCUCUCUCUCUAUGAUUCUUAUUAUUUUCUAUUAAAGCAGAGGGUACACACUUUUCGGCGCCCAGAAGGAUAUGUGAAUGAAGAAAUGGAAGACUAUAUCAAGAAUUUUUAUCCUUCCCUAGAAGAAGAAAUUACUUUUGCUGUCUCUCUUGAUAAGAAAGAAACAUUUGUUACUUUGAUAAAUGGGAUAACCAACAAAAAUGAUAUACCUCGAUGGUGUGUGGAUCAUAUGUUUCGCUUUGACUGCAUAAAUUGUGUGGAUGCUGUUCUGAAUGGAGAAAUGACAGGAAAAAUUGAUUUUACUGUUGAUGCUGUUCCACACAAGAACCGUGGGGAACUUCCUGCAUUGCAUAAAGCAGCUACUAGUCUGGCCUGUAAACUGACUGAGUUAUUUCUUGGUAUUACGGAUCAAGCAAAUGUCAGAUUGGAUUUUAAGGAUGUAAAAGGUUGGUUGCCGCUGAAUUUUGCUCUGAAGAAGUUAAGGUAUGAUUUACUUCUACAUAGAUGAUGCCAACAUUAGUUGCUGUGUUUCUGAUCCUGUUUAUGAUAGUAAAGUAUAAAUCAGAUGGAAGAUCUACAAAAUUAGUUUGACUGGAUGGUUUUGUUGUAUCCCUUUCACACAUCACAGGUCUUCAAGCUUGAUGCCUGUGUGGAUAAAUUCUAAAGGAGACGAGGAUACAUCCUACUGGAUGGCUAAUUCAAUACCACAGGGACCAACUGAGAUGGUCUUCAAGUUACUUUAUCGUCUGCUUUGUCCGUUUUCGGUUUGUACUCAUAUUAGGCUUUGUUAUUUUCAUUUUUUUUGUUAAGCAUAUGUUUUGGUUUCUUUAAAGGUUUAAUUUAUAUAGGUAACUUAAUAUUGAUGCAUGUUGUUGCUAUAUCUGUAGUACUGGAAAUCGCAUGAAGACUCAAAGCCACUUAUGAUCCCCUUGGAGUAGUUCUGAAUACUCCCCUUCUAUUUGCCUUUCCCGUGACUUGUUUCCUUUCUCCCCUCCCCCAGCUCUGUUUAUCUGAGAAAUUUUGCAUAUGGCUCUGGUGCAACUAUCUGAAUUUGCAACGUUAAUCCGUGUUAAGGUGCUCAAUAUUUGUUAUUAAUUAAUAACAUUUUGUUUCAGCAAAUGGUCUGUCUCUGUUCCAAAAUUUGAAAUUGGGGAAAAGGUUCUGCGUUUCAUUCGUUUUCUCUUCUUUUCCUGUUUGUGCAUUUGCACAAGACUGUCAUUUCAUGUGUAUGGAUUUCCCUUCUGUUUUGUGGGAGGCGUAUAUGCAGUAAAUGAAACUUUUUGUAUGGGAUUUGUUAAGGCAUGGUUAUAAUAAGAACAGUAAUUGAGAAUUCAAGUCAGAUUAUGGUUGUAGUUUCAAUAGGUGUCACGAUUGAUGUCUGCAGCAAUUAUCUCAUCUUUUUCUUUUUUGUUGCUGGGACAGAGAGCUGCUCUGGAAGUUGUGAGAUUGCUGGCGCAGAAGACCAAAGAAGUUGAAUUUGAGUUUUUUAAAUAUGUGAAAGAGCAGAAACUGGUUGAAUUAGCAGGCUUGUUGUUGGUGGCUCAUGAAAAGGUUAUGCCAGGUUUAGAAGAAUGUAUGAAGAUCCGCAAUUUUGUCUUGAAAGAAGCUGCAUUUCUGAAUUUACAAGAAAUCAGGUCCUUGUAUGGCUCUGGUGAUGAGAAGUCCCUACAAGAGGCAAAAAAGAAGAAGGUGGAGAUGGAGGCAAUACUAUUAUUACUUGAAGUAUUUGACAGAAUUGGUGAUAAACUUUCAGCUUAUCUUCAGAUAGUGCGAAAACAGGUAUUGACUAGUUUUACUUCUUCAAGGAUUGAGGUGGUCACUAGUUUAAACUAAAUCCUAAUAGUUAAACUAGAGAAGCAUACAACGUGUACUCCAAGCUUCUCUUCUUUGGUUGUGUUGACGUCAUUAUAUUGUUCAACAAAUUCGGUGUUAUGUUCCACUUUUUGAAUUUUGGAUGUGAGAUUCGAUGCAUGUGACUUGUAUUUCUGUGAUAGGUGAGAGUGGAAUAUCGCGCCAAAGAAAUUGGCUGGAUCUUGGAGAAAGCUGGAUUUUCCAUGAAGCUUGAACUUUUUGAUGAAACAUGCAGGUUUUGGUGUUAAGGACUUUUUCCCUCCCCCACUACCUUUUCUCUGAGUAUGUAGUGAUACUGUACCACAGUACAUGGACUUAUUCCAAACAGAGUUUUCCUUGCAGCUUAACAUGACAGAAUUUAGCAUGAGAAGUAAAAGGAUCUGACAACUGCAUUUCGGUGAUAACAUCAUCCCCUGAAACACUUAACUUUGUACUGGAAUUGCGCAGAGUAGAAAACUAUAGUUAUCGUUAUGGUGCUCAGACAACGGCAACUUGUUAUGUUUUAGAUUGAGAUGCAUUGUGCUUACUAAAAUAUCUGAAUGUAGCCCAGGUUGCUUGCUUAGAACUCAGACAUUUUUAUGUCAAACUCUAGCUUAUUGCUUAGCUUUAAUUCCUAUUCCUAUGCCAAGGAUCCAGUCUAAGUGCAAUUCCAAUUCCCAAGUGCAGCACUUGUAUUUAUGAUGUUUGCUGUUUGCAUUUGAUUGGCUCAUAUUGACGUAGUCUUACUAUUUAACUCUAUAACUAGUUCUUGCCCUUCUCACACUGCAAAAAUUUGCAGGGAAAGAAUUGAGUAUGGGUGGUAUUUACCUUUUCUAGGUGAUUCUUUCGUACUUUCUCAUGCAAACAUGUUUUUUAAACUUAUAAAGGUGAAUUGGCUCAAGAAUUGCCAUUAACUUGUGUAAUGAUGCAAAAUACAGGGGACACAGGUGCAGAAGACACCUUUUACAUUCUUAAUCGCAUCAAACGUUUGGAGUCACAUAAGAUGGCUUUCGGUUAUCGAAAAGUAUGUCAGUUAUGUACAUCACGUCCUAUAUUCUUUAGUUCCGGUUGUUUUUGGCUCUACCUUAGUCUCUUGGACCAUAACCUUUGUUGCAUAUAGCUGGUUCAUUUGCAUUACACUGAAACUCGAGACCAUAGCACAAUUCAGGCCAUUACAAUAUUCAUUUAAAUCAACAUCAUAGAAAUUUGAAGAAAAUGGUAACUUGUUAUGUCCUGAAGUAAACUAAUACUGUCAUUCAAUUUCCUGCCUAUAUCUCUGAUGCUAUUCUGAUCUAAAUCUUGUAGUAUGAUACCUGAAUAGGAUUUUGUACAUUGAUACUGGAUACAUGGUCCAACUAAAGUACUUCUGCUGCUUGUCUCAUUUUAUAAGCUGCCUUCAAUCUGUGGGACACCUAAUCAGCAAGUUGUAGCAUCUUCAAGUAGCUGCUUCCAUUGGUUACCAGCUUCUGCUCUAAAAUCAUUUCAUACAUUCCAUCCUGUGAGAGCCAGUGGUCGGUGUUCUGGUUCUGCUACAUGGGAGAAUAAAGCAUGCAACUGGUUGUGGGAUUUGCCAUGCAAACGUGGUCUUCUUAGAGAUAGCCAGGAUCUCCCUUCAGCCAAUAGGGUGCUAAACAUGCAAUACAGGAAGGUAUGGGCUUGUGUUGUGGCAACUUUAAAAAGGGGAACAAGGCUCAUCUGAACGAUUAUUGAGGUGGCCCUUAUUUUUCCUCCGUAUUGGUAGUAUUGGUGUUAUGUCUGGGGCCCGUAUUUCUUACUCUUGUUUAAUGGAAUGUUUUGAAGUAUUGGAGAUCUUAGCAUUUGUUCAAGUAGUUGAGUGUAAACAAUGAUAACCUACUAUUGUAUGACUAUUCUGCACCUCUCUUGAAGGUUCUUAGUAGGAAGAUGGCUGCCAAUGACUUUGUGUUCUUGGCCCUUUCUGCUAUGAAAUUUAUACCUUUGAAAUCACUAUUUCCUUACGUUUCAGCAUAUUAAAGUUUCAUGAUAUGUUGAACUGCAGGAUUGAUUUUUUGUUGAGUCAGUAUCUCUUAACGUGCCUGAAAUUGGUUUGGCACUUCUGUAUUUGCUUCCUUAGCGAUAAUUGCACGGCAUAUAUUGUUAGCUGCCGUUGUUGCUAUUGAAAGGAAUCGUCUUGCUGAAAAUGUUGCAAGGACCAUAUUUCUUCUGUUUCUAGCUAAAAUUAAAGACAUCGCAUUUGAUUGCUUGGAUGGUGUACGUAUGCAUAAGUUUGCUCGUUGUCUAAAUGACUAAGAGGCUCUAAAUCCCUAUGGCUCGUGGUUUUGUCUCGCAUCUCUUCUGUAGUUUCAUGCAAACAUGGUGAAGCUUUAAUUCAUUGGGCUUGUACUUUGUACUGAACUCGAUAACUGACUAAUUUUCAAAAUGACUAAUUUAAAGUUAUCAAUAUACUAUUCCUUUUCUCUUCUUCGAACCGAUGUCAAUUCAAAAUGUCAUCGGGUGCAAAUUCUAGAGGUGAUUUGCAUGGGUUUUAGAGGUGACCUCGUCUGAUGUGGCAUUCUAAAUAUAAGUCAUACGAAUUUUAGAGGUAGUCUCCAUCUUAUGUGGCACUUGGUUAUUAAGAUUUUAGAUGUGACUUCCCAUCGAAUGUGGUAUUUAAUCCCUCGUACUUCCCCACAUAGUCCAUCAAAUGUGGCACUUAAUCCCUUGUAAGCCCUUCAUUGAAUGUGAUACUUAUUUGCACUGCGUCGCAUAGUCGAGUGGCCCCUAUCGAACAUGGUAUUUUACCCCUUGUACCUUCUUGUAUAGUCAGUCGAUAUCAAUUCAAACUGUCAUCAUGUGUAAGCCUCCAAUCGGAUGUGAUACUUAAUCGCUUGCACUUCCUCGUAUAGCCUAAUGGCCCUCAUCAAACAUGACAUUUAGCCUUUUGCACUUUCUUGUAUAGUAGGAGCCAAUGUCAAUUCAAACUGUCAUCGUGUGUGAAUUCUAGAAGUAAUUUGCACGGGUUUUAGAUGUGAUCUCUUCUAAUGUGGCAUUCUAGAUAUGGCUCAAACGGAUUUUAGAGAUAGCCCCUGUCUAAUGUGGCACUUAGUCGUUUAGAUUAUAGAGGUGGCUCCUUAUUGAACGUGAUACUUAGCCCCUUGCACUUUCUCACAUAGUCCAUCGAACGUUGCACUUAAUUCCAUGUAAACCUCCCAUCGAAUGUGGUACUUAAUCCCAUGCACUUCCUCACAUAGUCGAGUGGCCCCCAUCGCAUAGUCGGAUUUUAGAGGUGACCUCGUCUGAUGUGGCAUUCUAGAUAUGGUACGUACAAGUUUUAGAGGUAACUCCCAUCUGAUAUGGCAUUUAGCCCUUCAGAUUCUAGAGGUUACCAUAACCCACUGACUUUGAUUCACCUUGCACUUCCUCACAUAGUCCAUCAAACAUGGCACUUAAUUCCUUGCAUGCCCUCUAUCGAACGUGGCAUUUAGCCCAUUGUAUUUUCUUAUAUAGUCAGAAUCAUAAUUCAUUGACUCAGAUUCACCUCGCGCAAAGACCACGCGGGAUUCGGUCUAAUACUAUUUGUAAUGCCCUGCACCAAACGAAUGCACUAAAGCACUCGCUAAUAAUGAUGAAUUCUUUGAUACUAGCAAAGGGAUUUGAUCCCUCAACCAAUUAAUCUUCCUAACCGGUUUGGCUGCUGGUUGUUUUGUGGUUCUAGUGGGUCCCAUCAUCCUUUUCAGCCAUAAACAUAUUUCUUGAUCCACUUUUUAUUUCAAACACAGUGCAUGUGUUUGGAUAGUUAAUUUGUUUAAAUAAUAUUUUGUUUAUAUCAUAAACACAUUUCUCGGCCUACAUUUCUAUAUUUUCAAUCAUUUUUUUAUUUCACAUACAUCAUAUCAUAAAAAGUGUUACAGUAAUUAUUUCAUAUUUGAAAUAAUGGUGUAUUAUUUAGAAUAUUAUUCAAAAUAAUUAUUAUAGCACUUUUUGUAAUUUGAUGUAUAUGAGAUAAAAAGGUGGUUAAAAAUAUUAAAAAGGUGGGUUAAAAAAUAUAUUUAUAAUGCAAGCGAAAUAUUAUUUGAAAAAUUUGGUAUCCAAACCACUUUUGAGUAAACUGAUUUUACGUUAGUCAUGGUAAUCCAUUUGUUGUGGAUAAAUGGCAGAUACAUUUUAAGUCAUUUGUGCGGUGCGACAUCCUGCCUGAUUUUAUAUAAUAAUAAUAAUAAUAAUAAUAAUCAAGUUGAAGUGCAACCACCAGUGGUUAAGGGAAGGCUCUCAAGGCUUUUCCCUUUGUCAGAUAAGUUGGAACUCUUGUCCUUUUGGACGCGUUUGCAAGGCACCCGUGUGUAACCAAUAACAGAAAAAGAAAAAGCACUCACUUGCACGGUUGCACCCGUACGUAACCAAUAACAGAAAAAGAAAAAGCCCUCUCACUUAUGCACGAGCGCCAAGGUGAACCUCUGAAAAUUAGAGAGAAUAUUCUUUAAAAAAUUAAAUGACCUUAACAGGAUCUAAUUAGGCAAAGAGGCAAAGGUUACCCUUUAUGAAUGAGAUUCAAAAUACGCCAUCCAAUGACCUUAACAGUUUUAUUGGUUGACGCACAAAUUUGUCUUGAAGAUGGUAUAGAGCUGGUUUUAGACUUCAGAAGAGCCUUUAGAAGAAUCAUUUAAUUUAGGGUGUUAAUCACUUUAUUUCUUGAUUUUUUGCGGCUCUCUCACUUGAUUCCGUACCGUUUUGAUCACUUAACCCACUUAAAAGACCUUCUUAAAAAGAAAAAUUACAGUGCUAAAGAAUGCAUAUCCCUUCUUUUUGCUCUUGCUGUAGUUUUUGAAGAAUAAGGGUGAUUUGGUUGGUUAUUGAUGAUUGCUUGUUCGUUCACACUGGCAAAUGUCUGGUGCAGAGAUGAUGUAAAGAAUUAUAGACAAAUAAGAUCAGAUUUGUUGCAAUUGUAAAGGAAUAUUUUAGACUACGGGAUCAUGUUAUUCAUGUUUGUUGAUUUUCAAACACAAGAUGUGAAUUCACUUCUUACGGGUUUUGGCAAGAGCAAUCAUUUUCAGUCUUCUAAAGUAUCGUAGCAGUCGUUGAAGCAGCAGCACCAUUGGGUCUUCCUUUUAUCUACUCUCUUUAUGCAACUGCUUAUGUUGAUGUUUGCUAUGAUAUCUGUGGCUGUAGCUGCAAUUUUCUGUUCUUUCUCAUUGCUUAAAUCUUUGCCUGUGGAAAGUGACCAGAAGAUCCAAAACAAGACAAAAGAAAUAGUAUUAGUCAUUACUUAUGACCCAUGUUACUAUAUAUAUAUAUAUAUGAAAGUAGCUAUUUUAAUCAUAAUAUUUUUCACUCCUAUAUGACAUGUCUAAUUGAAGAGAAUUAACGAGUUAUGGAUCACUUGAGUUUUAUCCAUAUUGAAUCCUAUUGGGAUUAUAUCAUGUGUUUAAAAAUUAUCUCUAAUUUUAAAAUAACUCUAAAAAAUAACUUAUCUUAUUUUAAUGAUAUAUGCUUUCUAUCAAAUUAUUACAAUGAUUAUAUUAUAUGUUUAAAAUUAUUUUUAAUUUUAAAACAAUUUUAAAAAGUAACUAAUCUUAUCUUGACUAUAUCUGUUUUCUACCAAAUUAUUAUAUGGAAGUAUAAUAAAACCUUUUUGAACAAUUAUUGAAAUUUUACAUAUCCUAUAAAUCACUUCCUUUCACUACCAUAUCAUUGAUUAGUAUUCAAAUUAUUCAUCAUCUCUUCUUAAUUUUGAAUUAACUUAGUUUAAAAAAGAGAAUUAACUGUUACACCAAUAGAUUUACCAAUAUUAUUGAAAAUUGAAUAUUUAUUGAUGAAGAAAAAUGGAUUAAUGGAUAUUUUUCUACUUAAUUAAGUAUGAAUAUAUAAUUCUAGAUUUAUAGUCAUUAUAGAAAUUUAAAUUAUCUAAAAAAAUAUCUAUAAGAAAGAAUAUCUACCAAAUUUUGGACGUGGAGCACAUUUGAUGUAUACUAUCACAUUAUAGUGAAAGUAUAUAAAUUUUUUUAAAAAUUAGUAAAUAAUUAAAAAUUUAAAAUACAUUAAUUUUUUAAAUUAAUAUGAAUGAACGUGUAGAACUAUUGUUAAUUUUUAUAUUUAAAUUAUUCAUAUUUUUAUAAAUUCACAAUAAAUAAAAAAAAACUGUACUAAGGCACGGGCAAAAUUUUAGUUGAGUAUUAGAAGUGUAACGUAGUAGUUAAGUAGCGAACUGAAAAUGUCAAAACAAAUACCAGUAUGUGACUUUGUUUUUUCAUUAAUAAUAAUUGAGCAGAAAAAUUGUUCAAAACAUUCUUUAUAUUUUGUAAAAUAACUUUUUUCAUGUGACUUUGUUUUUUCAUUAAUAAUAGUUAAGUAGCGAACUGAAAAUGUCAAAACAAAUAGCAGUAUGUGACUUUGUUUUUUCAUUAAUAAUAAUUGAGCAGAAAAAUUGUUCAAAACAUUCUUUAUAUUUUGUAAAAUAACUUUUUUCGUUUCUUACUUUUAAAAGUGUACUUUUACAUCCCUUAUAAAUUCACAUUGAUCAAAUUUGGUCCCUACCUAAAUUUUCGACUAGUGUUUUAUUGGAAUUUAUCACAUGCCUUGCAUGUGAUCAAUUUUUAAAGAUAAAAUUAUCAAAUUAAAAUUUACAUAAUCCAUCUAUAGUCCCUUAUAUUUUGCAAAAUGAAUUAUUUUGUCCAUCACAUUUUACAAAAUAAUUUUUUCAUCUCUCACAUUUUACAAAAUAAAUUUUUUCAUCCCUCAUUGACCAUGUGUAUGAAUAGUUUUUUUAAAUCUAUGUAUAUAUCUAUUUGACUUCACUUAAACAGUACGAAAGUAUGUAAUAUAUCUCUAUUUGAUUUCACUUAAAUAGACUAAUUAUAAUUGUACAUAUGCUAUUCAAUACAUAUAUGCAUGAGUUUAAAUCUAAUAAUUUUAUUUUAAACCCAUAUAUAUAUAUAAUAUCUAUUUGAUUUUACCAUGUGAAUCUAUUCAAUAUUUGUAACCUUUUCUAUUUUGGUAAUAAUUCAUUUAUUGAGUUAUAUAAUAAGGUCAUCAAUUAAUCGUUCCUAAGUCAAAUUCUAUAGUCAUGCUAAUAAAUUGCUGUUUAAAUUUAAAAUUUUAACUCGCCAUUUUUAAAACCAACAGUUGAAUUUCUUACCUUGUGAUAAUUUGAAAGUAUCAAUCACUUACUUCUUUUUGUCAUACUUUUUCUUUGUUUAUUUUUUCUGUCCAAUUUUAAUUCUAUAUAAAUACUUGAUAAUUUUUUUGAAUUAAAUGUCUUUUUUAUUUUCAAUUUUUGAGUGAAAGAAAAUGAACAUGAGUAAAAAACUAAUAAUUUUUUUAAACUCUUGUAUAUAUCUAUUUUAAUUUCACCCGAACAGUACGUUUAGGUGAAAUUAAAUAGAGAUGUAUUACAUGCUAUUCGUAUUAUUCAGGUGAAAUCAAAUAAAUAUAUACAUGAGUUUUUAAAAAAAAUUAUUCGUACAUAUGAUCAAUAAAAGAUGAAAAAAUUUAUUUUGUAAAAUAGGAGAGAUGAAAAAUUCAUUUUGUGAAAUGUGAGGGAUUAUGGAUCAGAUUAUGUAAUUUUUGAUUUAAUAAUUUUGCUCUUAAAAAAUAAUCACGUGUAAGGUACGUGGUGGAUUCUGACAAAAAAUUAGUCGAAAACUUAGAUAGAGAUCAAAUUUGACCAAUGUGAAUUUGUAAGGGACGUAAAAGUACAUUUUAAAAGUGAGGGACGAAAAAAGUUAUUUUGUAAAAUGAAAGAGACGUUUUGAACAAUUUCCCUAAUUGUGCAACUAGAGAUUAAGCAAAAUGUGUACGUACAUUCAUGAAGUGCCAAGAGAAUAGCAAAGUUGAUACAAAGAAUAAAGCAAUACGAGGGUUUUGAAGCGGCCAUUGAACUGAUUGGUUUGUUACUUGUUAGUCCGCUGUUACCAGGGGGUAAGCAGUGAGUUUUUUCGGGUUUUCAUAUAGUAAGAGAAACUACACCAAGAUCUUGAAUUCUCAUCACAAUCUUUUUGUUAGAGCGAUUUUUACACAAAUGUCAAAAUUACCUUCAAUUAAUCAAUUAUAUACAUAUUCUCACCGAAUUUCAUUUGAUCCAUUAUGCACUAAUAACUCUUUUUUCUUCUUUUUAAUUAAUUUUUUCCUACUAUUCUUUGUCGCUCUCCAGCUUACUUCUUUUCUCACUCACACACCAAUACUUCACUAGUGGGGCUAAAAGGGAGCCUUUAUUUUUUAGGGUAAUAUCUAAAACCUCCAUUGAGGUUUCUAAUAAUAUUAUUUAGUGUAAUCUCUCAUUUUUCAGGGUAAUCUCUCAUUUUUGUUAAAAAUUGUUAGCUUCGAUAGAUUUUUUUCGGGCAGACCCUACCUAGAUCCGAAACAUAUAGUAGAAGACUCGUUAGGUAAACGAGUCGGAUUUGGGUCCGAAAUAAUGAAUUCUGGCUCGGACCUAACCCGUUGAUAGGCCUACCUUCUUUUUUCCCACAAACGAUAAUAGAUUUAUAUAUGAUAACCACUUGAUAAUAUAAGAUUUAAUUACAAAAAGGGGCUACUACCCUUAUUUCCUUUCUCACUAAAUCCAUCAGCCAAAUUGGGAAAUCUUGUUCCCAUUCAAUAUCAUACACUAGCUUAACAGCAAAUUGGGCUAGAGCAUGGCUGAUUUCAUUUUCUGAUCUAGGUAUAAACACAAACCUACAACUUUCAAAAUGUGUUCUAAGUUCCUGCACAUCUUCCAGAAUAGUUGCAAUGCUGAAUUCAUAGUCAUUGCUUCUAGUUAUCUGGUCUAUUACUGAUUUGCUAUCAGAAUGGACGCAAAUUGAGGAAAUUAUGAAAAGACGCAAGGAUUUGAGAAUCCAGACCGGCCGCUGAUUUCCCUGCACAUCCAAGAUUGCAAAAAAUUGUUCGACCAUAUCUCGAACAGAAAUCAUUCGCCUCCAUACCCUGGAAAUACUUGGCGCAUUAAUGUCACUCUAUCGGGGUUGCAUAAAAGUAGCCAACAACGAGUUUGAACAGCGAAAGAUUCUCCUUGCAUAUGUGUGCGACGAUUGUUUUGAUUUCUUCACAUAUUAUCCACAGUUAGACGUUUACCUGAUUGUAUUUCAACCACUCCGAAGUACAUCACUGUUAUUGCCUUCAAAAUCUACAAAUACACUUCUCAUCGUUGUUGUCUUUAGAAAAAACUACAAGUACGUUUUCUCCCUUUCCUGCAUUUUUCCCAGUUUGAAAUUUUGUUCUAUAUCAUCCAUGAUUUAAUAUAUUGUUUUUCUACCCGGAGAUUUGAUUCCCAGUUACUAUCAUAUAUUAUUGCGUUGUAAUUAUUCUAUAGGAUCAAGUAAUUACACAUCUUUCUGCAUCAUGAUCCUUUCCUCUUUUUUUUAAUGAAUUUUUUCUCAUAUUGUACCCACGAAUUGUCAUCAUUCUUAAUCUUCUUUCUCCUCAUAUUUCCUUCUUUCCUUUAUUUUUUUUUGGGUUUUUUUUGUUAAUAUCAUUUUUUUUCUCAUGCACGCACAUGGAUGUGUCUCUGUUAGGACUGCAAACGAAUCGAAUCGAGUCAAGUCGAGUUUUGGUCUAAUCAAGUCGAGUCUUGACUUAAUUUUAGUGAACUCGAACUCGAGCUCAAACUCGAAAAAAAUAAAAAUAAUUAUUUUAUUUUUAAAAAAUAAAUAAAAUAAUAUUUUUUCUUAAUAAAUAAUAAAAUAUUAAGGAUAUAUAUGUAAUUUUACUAUUAAAAUAAUAUAUAUACUUAAAAUAAAAAAAUAUAUACUUAAAAUAAAAAAUAAAAAAUAAUACUCCCUCCGUCCGACUUUGAUAGUCCCAUUUCUUUUUUCACACAGUUUAAGAAAAAGUAGUUAACUUUGUUGGAAAAGUAAAUUUAGAUUGCUAUUUUCCUAAAAUAUCCUCACAUUAAAUAUGGUACAACUUUGUGGGAACUUGAAUUGAUGGUAAAAAAAGAAUCAACUCUCAUUAAAUGGAGUAAGUUUAUAGUAACAACAACUUACAUUGAAUAAGGGUAUUUUAGGAAAAUUAAAAUACAACUACAUUCUUCAAUUGGAAAGUGGACUACAAUUUGGGACAGGCGAAAAAGGAAAACGGGACUAUCAAAGUGGGACGGAUGGAGUAUAUAUAUAUACUCGAACUCACGAGCCUAAUGAGCUUAAUAUCUUGAGCUCGAAUUCGACUCCAGCUUGACUCGCUCGCGAGUGGCUCGGUUUGUUUGCAGCCCUAGUCUCUAUCACUAGCAUUAAUAAAAACUUGAAAUUAAAAAAAAUAGUUGGAAUGUAGAAUUCCAAUGGAACAAAAUAUGGUAGCUUCUGUCAUAAGAAAGACGUGUUUUUAAGGUACAAAAAAUUUCUCCUUAAAAGCUUGUUCAAGGCAUUUUCAAGCCACAUAAAAGUUAACUUCUUUGCUGUAGAGCAUUUUCAAUAAAUUUAAGGAGUUUUAUAAAUUUUUAGAAUUCUUAAAAUUUCAAGUAUUCCUAGAUCCACUGCUUGAAAUCUAGAAAAAGACAAAGUGUUUAUAUUUAUGUUUACAAACUUAUUUGAGGUGUUUCCAAAAUUUAAAUAAAAGAACUAUUUUCUUCAUUUUAAUUUUUUUGGUGAUUUUACAAGUUUUUUAAGUUAUAAAAAAAGAUUAAUUUCUUUAUGUAAAGUAUUUGGGUUGAAUUUAAGGCGUUUCAUAAGAAGUUUAUAACUUUUUGAACAUUCUAAUACUGUGUGAUUUUGUCUAGAUAGAUGAUUUGAAAACUAGAAAAAGAUUAAUUGCUUAAAUUAUACUUAAAAAUUAGUUAAUUUGUUUUCAAGGUGUAAAAGGUAAUUUUUUUCAUUGAAGCAUAUUUUUUAUUAAUUUUACAAGGUUUUUAAAUUAUUGAAAAUCUUUGAGUUUUUUAAUUUUCUUGCCCAGGGGACACGAAAAAUGUUAUAAAAUCUUUCAACUUCAUUAACAAUUUGUCAUUCACCCUUAAAAUACCAUAUUGGUUAAGUUUUCAAAAAAUCAAGGGAUUAAAUUUAUUUGCUAUAAAAAUUAAAGGACCACAAGAAAAUGACAAUUGAAAAAUGAAAUUAUCUUCUAUGGUUUUUAAUCAUAUGUUUUAAAAUGUGUAGAUAGUUUUACAAUAAAAAAAUAAUUUUAGGAGUAGAGGAGAUAAGUGUUAUUUUUGAAACUUUACAAGUGCUAAGUAGUUCUUAAAAUGUUUUAGGGAAGCUUUUUGCAAUUAUCCCGAACUUUUAUUCCAAAGUACAUCUCUUGGAGCAUCUUAGUGGAAUGGGUGCGAGUACAAAAGCAGCAUAAUGUUAGAAAUCCUUCCUUAAAUCCAGUUUCUAGUAAAAAAAAGGAAGAAAUCUUCUCUAGUAGCAUAUAAGUUUUUUUUUUUGUUCUCAAAAUUCCGGAGUCGUUUUUCUUUAUUUUUUUUUAAAAAAAAUUUAAUUUUUCUGGAGUUGUUAUAGUUAUUGCUCAUUUGCUGCAAUUAUAAAAAUUAAAUCGAUAAUGGUCCUGCCAGAGAACAAUUGGUGCCAGGUGUUCAAACUUUUAAAUAGGAAUAAUACCAGAAACCUCCCCUGAGAUUUCUCUUAAUAUCAUUUGACGCUCCUAAGGUUUUAAAAAAUCAAUUACCUCCCUUACUUUUGUUUAUUUGUGUAACAAAAUUUUUAAAAAUCCUAAAUUACCCUUCUAAUUACUAAAUAAAAAUGCUCCUAGAUCACUUUAUUUACUUCAAGAAAAUCAUCAUUUAAAAAAUAAUUUCUAGUAGUACUACCAUAUCAUGAUGUUGUAAUCCAUAAAAAUAUAUAUUUGAAAAAUAAAAAAAAUAUUUGUAAAGAAAUACAAUUGACUAAUAUAACUCUUCUACUCAAAACUAAUUUCUUAUGAACUCUAUCUUUUUUUUCCAACUUCUUCUCAAUUUGUGUCCAAAACUUUUAAAUUAUACUGAUCAUUCAAAAAUAACUCAAAAUAAGCAAAUAAAUUAUACCCCACUCUAUCACAAUUAUAAAAAUUAAAUGAUAACAAAAUUUAAUUGAUUAUAAUUUAUAAAUAGAAAAUUACAUAGUCAUCCAAAAAAUGAGUAAGAGAGAAUAUUGGAGAAAAUAAAAAGAGAAGAAAGUGACUUUUGUUUCCUUUUUUUAUUUUUAGCUCCAUUUGUUUGAUAUGUGAAUUGUGUUUCAAAUGAAGGUUAAUAUAAUCUUUUUGUAAUUAUUAGGGGAGGUAAGUAUUUUUUAAAACUUUAGGGGUACCAGAUGAUAUUAGGAGAAAUCUCAAGGGAGGUAUAUGAUAUUAUUCCGUUUAAAUAAUUGCUAGGGUUUCCAGCAAAAGUGAUAUCACGUUGUUGAAUUUGGAAGUUUCCCCGCCGCUCACCUUAAAGUACGGGACUGACUGAUUCCGUGUCUUACUGGUCCCUGACUCAUUCCGUGUCGUGCCUUACUGGUCCCCUCUUAUGGCUACGGUUUUGUGGGGUCUUCCGUUUCAAUUGAUUGCUAAAUGAUAAAUUCUGCAUUAAAUGUGGUAUUACCUGUCCCCAAAAAAAAAAAAAAAAAAAUUUGUUUUCCGCACAUUCUUGCAAAAGUUUUAUAAAAAAUUGCAUUACUAUUCCGAAAAAAAAAAUUCGGCAAUCUUUUAUGCUGGUGAACUCAUCAGUAACAAGUAUUACUCUUCCCUCAGCCGCAAAAAGGGCAAAAACAAAAAAGAGAGAAAUGAAAAACCUAUCUUUCUUUCUUGCUAUCUCUCCCCAGUUCGGCAAAGCGGUUUCGGCUCUUUUCCCUUUGACCUGGCAUGAGUUCCUGGUUUCACCGGCAUGAUGUGUUCUCAAUGAAUUUUUUUUCUGAAUCAUAGUUCAGAAGUUGGUUACUUAUCAUUAAAGGAGUCGAACUAACCUCACCCACCUUAACUAAUUACGUUGUAUUUGUGGUGCAUGAAUGGGGGGUUUGGUUGUUUUGUGAGCACGUGAGAGUUGGAUGAUGGUGAUCUCUGAUUUCACCCCAAGUUGACGGUUUUGGUACAGCAAAUGGGACCAGAUGGAGUCUUCAUAUCCCAUAUAAAAAUUGACCCAUUUGGACAACAUCUGGACAUGCUUUGUCCUAUGAGGUGAGAUUCUGCGGAAGAAGUGAUACAGAAGCUCAUGACCUUGAUGGCAUAUGUUAGAUCCCUUGAAACAAAAUAUGGCAAUUUUGGGGGUAUUCCGAGUUUGUUUGGUCUCUUUGCUUAUUCAUUUGUUUAUAUUUCAUGCGUUUUUCUUUUUUGGGUGCAACAGAGGUGAUGCUUGGUUCAUUUUCGUCAUUCAAAUCCACCGCGCCGUUAGAAGCUUGAAGGACUUUGCGAUUGUAUCGAUCCGGCACCAGUUCAUGGACUGGCUAUAGUCCGAAACAGUAAUUUACAUAACCACCCACCCUAAUUUGACACUGUUUAUAAAGGAGAGCUGAUUGAAUUAGUAACAGUAAAUAAUCGCGUUUAUUUUCCCUGCAGGCAACCACGAUCCGGGAUUAAGAAAACUUGCAUUAAAAAGCUGCGCAGGUGCAUUAUCAACGUGUCAGAUGUCUCCUACGGAUGCUGUGGAGCGUUUUCCUUCUCUAGAUGCUGCACUCCAAAGGCGUGACGAGUAUUUUGACGGUUGUGAGGAGAAUCAACAGACAUAUCCCACUUGAUACCGGACUGGUAUUAUUAUAGCAGCCCAAAUGUGUGUAGAAGAUCACUUAUGUGGUCUUUAGGUCACAUCGGGACAUCAAGAUUAGUUCCUAACCAUUCUUAUGCUUGUUUUGCAAGUAAAUUCUUUUGGGACGUGGAUAACCUCGAGAGAAUGCUGAUGGCCGGGGUGUGUUCUCUGCCUCCAUUGACAAUAGAGAGAUAGCUAUUCUGUUUAGGUUAACUUCAUGGUUCCUGAUCUAGUACUACAGCGAUUAUACGUUUUUCUCAAUGCUUGGGGUCUCAACCGGAAUUGUCGAAACCUGAAAGUUCUUGACCAAGCUUAACAAAGUUCUAAAAGAAACCAUCAGCAAUGAAUAUUCUCGUGUAAAAUCUUUCACAAACUUAUCCGAGAAAAAGGAAGUUCAGUAAUAAGUUCCCUCACUCUCAGACAUAUUUAUCUCCACGUUUGUUUACAUAUACAUUUGGAGAUUGGAGAGAGAACAACUUGGACUAUUAAAUCACUCUAGUUCAUAGUCUUAUUCACAUUGAGAUGCGGAAUCUUUUCACUUCCUUUCUAAUUUACAAUACAGAUACAGUAUUGCCUAGUAGUUCACUGAGCCCGCGUGGGUUGGUGGUAGAUAUUGAGUUAAGUUCAUCCCGUUCAAGAAGUGCUUGGGCGAAUUGAGAAUUCAGUAGACCAAGAGAGAAAUAUCAAAGAGUGCUAAUUUAGUCAGUUGUUUUUGUCUUUUGUGAUAGUCAGAUUGCAUUUUGAGUUAUUCAGCUCCAGGAUCCUGCUUUUGUGCUGUCACAGUUCUGCUUCUUCCGGUGCUGCAAUGAAUUGAAUUCUUUCUUACGUUGAUUUUCUCUGGUUGUUGAAGAAAGAUGAAUACCAGAGCAUGGACUCUAUGGCAGUUUAUGAGAGCACCUUCUGUCAGAGUGAGAAAGAGCACUCAGCCUAUGUUUACCUUUAUGAGCUUGUAUUGAUCAUGGCCAUUCAUUCUACUUACUGUAUCAUUAGUUUCUUCAGGGUAGAUGGUAGUAUGCCUCGUGGGAGAGGUGUAGCCUUCAGUAGAUAGAGAAGUUUCCCCGAAAUUUGAUAAGAUAGGGACUUUGAUAUGAAUUUCAGAUGCAUUCUGUAUUCUACUAGUUUUAAGAAAAGAAGAGAAGGAUCUUUUUGGCUUAAUCUUCACUGCUAUCCACAUUACGUUCAGGUCUACUAGAAAUUAGAAUCUCUCUCCUCCACCGUAUGGUUCCGGUUGAUGUGCCAUUGGGUCCUUUCUUCGAAUGAAGCUUCAAAUCUUUGCUGUGUUGCUUCUUAUCAACUAUUGUAUUGAUCUUUCUAGCUGCUCUUUUCUGCCAUAUAUAUAUAUGGCUUCUUUAUGCGUUUCUUUUGCCAUGUUUCUUUUUCUGUAUGUGUUUGUGUACUUCUUCUUCUUCUUCUUCGGGUGACAUUUGAACCGUCAGAAUUCAUUAUACUGUUGGGAAGGCAUAUUUAUGGUAAAUACCUAGAGUGUUCCCCAGGGCUAGUCACAAUCAAACUGCCUCUGAGCAAUGAAAGGGGGAAAGCAUUUGCUGCACAUGCACCUCAGAAGUUGAGGCAGAUAUUUCGACCACUGAUCCACCCCUACAACUUGAGGCGAUCAGCCACUGAGACUUCUGUGUUUCUGCUUGCUGCAACGCCCAAAGGUUAAAAGGCUAACUGGUGACAUGCAUGAGGAUUCGCAAGCUGCUUAAGUUUAUUUUCUUUAGUCAUGGUUCUUUCUUUCAUGCCUCUCUUGUGGCUGUGUAGGAUUGAGCGGGCAGGUCAAGCCUCUUCUGAAUUCCCCUUCUAAAUAAACAUGUGAUCUACAAUUAAAUAUAUAUGCUACUGUUUUUAUUAAACCUGUUCUUAUCUUCUGCCUCUGCCUUGUUAAAUGCUAUGUUUUCAGAACCGGACCGGAUAGCGACUCGGCCGAGGUCAGGGGUCAAUGGGUUCGACCGGGGGUCGAUAGGGGUCGAACCGGAUGACGUCAUAAAUAAAAAUUAUUUAAAAAUUAAAAUAUUAUAUAUAUAAUAUCUAAUAAUAUAUUGAUAUUAAUAAGGGUAUAUCCAUAUAUAUUUGAUGUUUCAAAUAUAUUUAACAAGAAAAUACAAAGAAAUUAGAACAAUCAAGUAGCAAUUUAUAUUAUUUAAUAAAUAUUAAUAAGUUUAGAAUUAAAAUUAUGAAUUUAAUUGAAAAAUAACAUCAAAUUUUAGGACAAUAUUUAUAAAGUAUCAAAUAUUUGAGGUAUAUCAAUAAGUUUUAACAAUUUAGGGGGUCAAAACAUAAUAUUAAAAAGUUUGAAUUUUUUUAAAAAAAAUUACUGUUGAACCGGAAAAACCGGUUUUUUCCCGGUCAAACCCGGUUUUUGACCGGCUUUGACCGGAUUUUAAUUUUCUGGUUUUUUAAUGUGACUCUGACCGGCUACCUGGCCGGUUCCCGGUUCGACCGGCCGGUCCGGUCCGAGUUUGAAAACAGAGGUUAAAUGAUGAUAAAUACAGAGUAGUUUGUGUUUCCUCACCUUUGUAAUGAAAGGAGUGCAGUUAGUCUGCUAUUCACUUUAUAUGCUUUUACUUUUUCUGAACUUUUUAAGUUUUAAUUUGAGUAAGCAUAGUCGUACCUUAUUGUUUUAGGUUACUGUCUUCCUACCUCAGAAAAACCAAAUCAUACUAGACCUCAAAUGCAUUAGAUACAUGCAAAGCCAAAUGGAAUCUUAUUAUUUUUAUGAAAUAUUUUCUUCUUUCUUUCACACUUUUAGUUGUUUAACUGAAUGAAUGAAUAGUAGAAAAGCAGUAGGAUAUGUUAAUCAGUAAUCACCACCGAAGUAAGUUUGAAAUAUGAUCUGGCUACUAAGAAAAAGAAGAAGAGGUAAGGAUGUUAGCAAUUUUUUUUUAAGAUAGAAAUUGAGUAACUCCACUUUACUUAUUCAAGCUAUUGAACUCUUUUAACUUGUUGCACCUUCAAGCAGUAGAAUAUGCACAAUGGUUUCUUUGGGAGGACCUGGAACGUGACCGUAAUGGUGCAUAGAAUGUUAGGAGACGCAUGAUAUAUGAUCAGAAAUGAGUACUAAACAAGUAGGUUCAACUUACAUGCAAUCUUUUCCUGUUUGCAGCUUUCUUUUUCUUGAAUGUCUUUUGUGGACUUAGUUUUUAAGCAUCAAAUAUUAGGCAGAAACUGUUUUAAUUUUACCACUCUACAGGCAUUGAGAGCAUCCUUUUUUUCCCCCUUUAUCUAUUUCUUGUGUCCUCUACCUUGUGCUUUUGUUCAAGGACUGUUCUUGUGUCUUACCUCUAUCACCAAAUCCUUUUAGCAAUUGAAAGUUGAAAGCCGCCUCUUAUUGAUGAUAAGUUAAAGCACCAGUAGUUACUCUGUGUAUUGUAACUCUUUGAGCUUGUAUUUUCCUUAAAGUGACAUCAACUUUCUUGCAGCUUGGUUUAUGCAGAACGAUGAGUUACGUGAAUCUGCUAGGUGACUUUUGCUGUCCAUUGCUGAACAGUGUGUCAUGAUCGAAAUAGCAAAGGCACGAAGGGUAUGAUUUGCCUUCUGCCUCGAGAAGGUAUGUUUGGCAUUGUUAAGAUUGAUCUCCCUAGCACUACACUUAUUGAUUACUCUGCAUCAGUACCAUGUUUGUAAUUUUUUGUUGUAUUAAUGCAUUCUUGUCAUUGCUGAAAUGUUGGGAGUUCCAUCUAUGCCAUACAGCAAGUCACAAAUUCUUGUGAGGAAAUAUAUUCUCGAGUCAUCUUCACUCUGCUGGCAGUCAACUAUUGAAUCCUUUAACUAAAAGUUAGUUUCACAUUGGGACAGGGAACAUGAAAAGAGUCUAUGCUAUUUAGUUUCGCAUUGCAUUUAGGGGCUUGGGGGAGGACUUUAAGCUAGUAUCUGAUUAUGGCAUUAGCUGCUUGGAACAGACAUAAGAAAAAGAGUAGGCAGUUAGGAUAUAUGACGCGAUGUUGUUUAGUCUCCAAGUACUAAAAAUUGAAUCCUUAACUAGAAGUUAGUUUCGGACAUCGAAAUUGGGAGGGGGAUUUGGGUGGUUUAUUAAGGUCCUCAGGAACCACAAGAGUUGCCGGCUUUUGUGGUUUCCUGUGGAGUUACUUUACUAAAUUGCAAAAGUCAAUCUGUUGACUAGAAAAACUAGAAGUUAGUUUCGGCAGGGGGCUGGAAUGUGAGUAGAGUCUGUAACUUAUUAUGCUCCGUGUCAGUGUCACGGGCUUGGAUGCGUUUCAGCUAGAAUUUUGUUUAAGACACGUGUUGCCUGAAGUCUGGAUAGCUUCUAGUAUUUUGUUAUUGGUUAAUUGAACCAGGAUUGCUAUAAGAAAAAUGAUUAUGGGUUUCUGAAAAUGGCACAUCUUGUGUAUUGACUCCAAACUUUAAUCUCUAAUGAUAUCAUGGCUGGCUUGAUUAAUAGUUGAGAGCAAACACCGCCAUGCAUUUUAGAUAAAUGGUUGGUACGAAUUUUAGGUGCAUAUCAUUAACUAUGAUAUUAUAUGUAUGUCUGCUAUUGUUGUCUUCAUAGUGGGAGAAAGAUUAUUGACAGUUCACUGGAUAUGAUGAUGGGAGGCACUUUAUUGCUGUUUCCCGUCUUCUGCUUUCUCCAUGACAUAUAAUGUUGCCGAACUUUUGUAAUUACAGCCUGUAGGAUUUUUGUUUAUUAAGUAGUAAUAGUUCAUGAAUUCUUUAAUCUGCUGAGUUUUAUUUAUUAUUAUUAUUUUAAAAUGCCUGCCAGCUUUUAAUAUGUGAAAAUUGCUAUUAAAGUCCCUGGCAUUUUUCAAACUUCUGUAAUUUAGAUCCUUGCAUUAUAAGCUCUUUUUUUGCCUAUUCUUUAUUUUGGAUGGAAAUAACUGUAGUAGAAAAUAGAUUAGAGAAAGGGACUUCACCAUUUCUCUUUGUUUGAAAAUGUUUAGUGGGGAUACAAUAGCUAAACCUAGUGAGUUUUAAAUCGUGUAGUUACCUUCUCAAAAGCUAAACAAAAUGUCAGCAAUUUUAGAAUGGGGCCAAAGUCCUGAUUAGAGGUGUUAAUCACAAUCAAAUUAUAUUGAUCCAUCCAAACUUGUCCACUAAUAAGUAGACUUUAAUGUGCAAUUAGGGCUGUCAAUGGGCUUGGGCUAGCUCGAGCCCAGUUCAUUCAGCCCGCAACAAGGCCCUAUGAGCCUUAUGUUUAAUAGGCUUGGGCUGAGUUUGGCACAAAAUAGGGCCCAAAUUAAAUGAGCUGAGAUUGGGCUUUACUAGGUUCAAACUUGAUUAAGGCCCGACCUAUUUACAUGUAUAAUUAUAUAUAUAUAAUACAUGUAAUUUCAUAUUAAGUGGUAUAUAUAAUGUAGAAUUAUACAUUAUAACAUUAAAAUAUCAAUCAUUUAUAUACAAAUUUAUAAAUAUUAAUAUAUUAUUUAUAAUUAUAUAUUUAAUUAUGAGUUUGGGUCAAAUCCGAUAUGAACCCGAAGUUCAUAUAAAAUGAUGAGUCGAGUUUGAACUUUCUAACCUAGGUUCAAGUCCGAAAGUUCAAAAUCCUGAAAGCCCCAUUUAUUUUUUGAGUUGAACUUAGGCUUCCCAAAGUGAGGCCCAGCUUAUAGAGCUUGAUAGGCACCCCUAUAUGUAAUUAGCUGGCGGGUGAAGAUGCUUCUUAGUGACUGAGAUGUUUGGACCCAAAAAAUGUAGAGCUUUUGGUAGAGUGUGCUUGGAAAACUGACUCGAAUUCCCAUAUUAUAGGAUAUAGUUUGCUUGCAUACUGUUGGCUGUGCUGUCCAUGUUCUAAAUGUAUGCAAUACCAAGUGCAUAUUAUAUAAACUAUUGAUGAAAUUGGAUCAAAACCAUACAGUUGCUAAAUUUCAAAUCGCGUUAUUAUAGUCCUGUGAUUCAACAAUCCAAUUUUAUAAAUUUGAUCCCAAUCUAAGUAAGAUUCUUGGAGUUUGUAAAACUAUAGUCAAAUGAAUAGAAUUUUGUAGAAUCAAGUGCAUAUUAUAUAAACUAAGAUAAUUCUUACGAAUUUAAAAUUCGUAGCCUUAUAUGUCAUGAAUUCAUAUCAAUGAUAUUUAUUUUUCAUAUUUGUAGUCUAAAAAUAAAAUAAAUUCCGAAAAUUGAAUGUUUAUCAAUUAGCAUAUAAUGCUAGAAUACAUACAUUUUAGCUGAAGAAAUUUAUUUUUUCUAACUACCAUCACAUUUUCUGCAUCUAUUUGCACAUUUUUUCAACUUUCAUGAACAAUAAGCUUAUAAAUAAAUAAAAUGUUAAUUUUUUUUCAUAUUUUUUAGUAGGAACUUACGAUUCUAUGAUCCAUCUAUGGUUUAAUCCUAUGACUUCCAAAAGGAACCCUAGGUAGGAUUCCCAUUUUAAAAACCUUAAGACUCCAAUCCUGAAAACGGCUAUCCCAUGUACAAAAUAAAGGGGGGAAAAAGUAAUAAAAAAAGGAUGAUAAAAGAAAAUAAAGAAGAAGACCCCUCUGGAUAUUCAAUUUGGUAUUGUAAUUUUCGGGCCUUUUUUUUCUGGGCUGAACUGCAACAUUAAGGGGCCCAAUAUGUGAUUGUAAAACCUGGAUCAGCCCAAAUUUCCAACGUUAGGCGCCAAGUUUCCAAGAACAAGAAACAGAAAAUCAUUUCAGCUGGUUCGUCCGGAUCUUUCUCUAGUCUUACUGAGCAAGAACUAACGGUAAUUUUUUCAUUGUUUUUUCUUUAUUUUUUCUUUAUUUUUUUGUGGUAAUUAGUCUUGGGGUGUUGAAGCGUUGCCCAUUUUAAGAGCCGAAAUUCAGUAAUCCGCAUAAUUGUUGCUCAUAUGCGUUAAGUUUCUUGCGCACCACCUGUUCGAUUAAUUAACGAUAGGCUCUUCUAAGAAUUUUGGGUUCUUAAUCCGCCAUGUUCUUACUAAAAUAGUGAGAUUUUGGAUUUAGAAAAAUUUUUAGACUGCUUCGAUCCCUUGGUCUUUUUCUUUGUAUAAGUUUUAGCACUGCUGCAAUCCCACUUUGUUCUUCUUUUAUGUUUAUGUUUUUUCAAUUGAUUUUGAACGGGGAAAAUGUUUUUUUAAUUCUUUUUUUAGUUUUGGGCUUUAAUUUCUUUGUUAAUUUCAAUGGUUCUUUUAUUUCAUUUGCUCAUGUUUGCAGAGAGCAAUCCAGACAAUGUCUGCAAUCAGAGCAAUUGGUAGGGCGCUUUUUGCUGCAGUCAAGGCUGACACUUCAUCCGCAUCUUCUGCAGCUGCAGCUGCUGCUUCCACUGCUAGGACUAAACAUAACCCUCUUGAGGAUUUCUUCGAGGCUGACAGAAGUUCAGAUGACGACAAGCCUGUUGUAUAUGGUAUAAACACGUCUUCUCUCUAUCAUAUCGUGAAGUUCUUUGGUUUUCAUGUAAUUGAAGAAACUGAAGUUAAUAAGUUGGAGCCCGAAAUUGACCGUGGAAAUAAAGUACUGGUACAGUCUUAAAUUCUACAAAUACUUUGUGGUUUGAAUAGCAUCUCCUUGUAGUAUCUAAGCUUAAGUAUUUAAUGUCAGAAGUGAAAAGGAUCUCUUUUUUUGCAUUGUGUUCUGGAGGUGUAAUAAUUCAGCUGAUCUGUCUUAAGCUUUGACAAUUCCUUUGAGGAUUGCAGUGACAACCUCUUAAAAUGGUGCUUCUGAUGCUUUGGAUGUCAAACAACAUUUAGAAACAGCCUUGAGCAUGACCUAGCAUUUAUGACUAGGAAUUUUUUUCCCUUUUUACUUUUUUCCUCGAUAAUGGUAUGUUCUAUUUUCGGAAUCAUUCUUAUACAGAUGCUAAAAUAAUUUUGAUAAGGAGCUAUUUUUGAGUUCUUGUUUAUUUUAUUAAAUUAAGAUAGCUUAUUUCAGCAAAGUAAACCUAUACAGAUAAAAAAGACAGCAGCAAAUAUUUCUUCUUAUUACAACUCUAUGUUGCUUCAUACUUUUUCCAACCAGUUAAGGUCUAUGAUAUAGCAGGAUAUGUGGAAACUUGAGUUCUAGAAAGCACCCUUUGUUUUCCAGAGAGAUAUGGCAUGAGAUAAUUGUACACCCAUGUUUGUUUGGUCUUGCUAUCUUUUUUUGUUAGAUGAUUAUCCUCAAAUUAAUAAAUUUUUAGGUAUUGUAAAUCAGUUGUACUUUCUUUUCUUGCUGGUUGCUCCAUCUGAGUUACUGCAUAUAGCUUAUGGACCUUGUUUUUUCUUGGUUAAUAAAUGAAAAGGUUGUAUUCUGCUCUAUGGUGUAUGUGCAGCCCAUGGCAUUUUGUUAAACUUAUGUUCAUGGAACAUAUUGUUACCACUCCUUUCUUGUCAGUUGUGUGUUCAAAAUAACUGUUGAUUUUAUCAUAUAGGUAGGGGCUGGAAAGCUUCUGAAUUGUGCCUUAAAUCAUGGGAUGAUCCUCAGAAGUUAUGGUUUGUUCUAUUAAAGGAGAAAAACAUGUUGAUGACCCAACGCCAGAUGCUUCAUGCUCAGAACCUACGUUUUGCAAAUCCAGAACAUAUCUCCAAGGUAGAUUAUGUAUUCUCCAAUUUGCUGUUUUUCUUUCAUUUUUCAAAUGCUUUUUCUGGUGCUGUUAUAUAGCCAUUUCUGCCAUUUAUCUUAAAGAAUAAAAUCCAAUGUACUUGAAAAAGUUUCUUUGCUAUAAUCUUCUGCAUUUUAUUCUAAUAAGCAACCAAUUUCAGUUUUUUUCCCCAGUUUUAUUAUGCUAGAAAACUUCUCGAUACUUAUGCAGUGAUGAACAUCAUCGCUUUGGUUAAUCAUGAAACUUUGUCUGAUACAAGGUGAACGCAAUUCUACAGAGCCUAUCACAUUUUUCCGCUUUAUGAAACAUUCCUAGGAUUACAAUUCUACUUAAUAGACAGUUUUUUCCACUUGAAGGCGUGGGAGAAGCAGAGGGUGAAGAGAGAGGACCUAAUAGGAGAAACACUAUCUGCCAGAUACAUGUUUCUCCCAAGAAAAAAAUCAUUUUUGUAUUUGAAAAUGUAGUUGUACAGUGAGGGGACUCGCCGGGGGAGGGGGGGGAGGGGGGAAGAGAGAGAGGACCUGAUAGGAGAAACACUGUCUGCCUGAUAUAUGUUUCUCUGGAGAAAAAGUAAAAAUUAUAAUCCUCACAUUUUGUGGCUGAUAGUAGCCCUGGAGGACCUGGGAGGAGGGGGGGGGGAGAGAGAGAGACAGACAGACAGAAAGGCCUGUUAGAGAGGGAUUCAAAUUAGAGGAGAAAUAUACUCGAGUUUUGCUGCUGAUAGUAUUCCUAGAAAACACAAUCUGUCAGAUACAUUUUUCUUUUGAAAAAAGCUCUCCUAUUUUGCAGCUCACAGUAAUCCUGGGGGGAGAUAGAGAGUGUGUGUGUGUGUGUGAGUGAGAGAGAGAGAGAGAGAAAGAGAGAGAGGGGACCUAAUUGGAGGAAACAUAUCCUCAUAGUCAUUGCUGACAAAAGUCCUAGAAGAAACACAAUCUGUUAGGUACAUGUUUCUUUAGAAAAAAGUUCUCAUACUUUUCACCUCACAGUAUUUCUAGAAGAAACCGCAUGUCCUAGAUACAUGUUUUUCAUAGUUCUUCUGUAUAAUAUCUUUAUUCUUGUCAACCUCAAAGGAAUUAAUAUCAUAAUUCAAUCUUUCCGAAUAUGUUGUCUGAAAAUGAUCUUAUCAGCAAAAUUUUUAAUACUGACAUUGUGUAUUUUAAUCGACAAAUGGCAUAUUGUAAUUCUGUAUGAUUGGAAAUUUAUUUUUCUUCUUAUUUUUUCAACUAAAAGCUUAUCUUGAAAGGUUGGAAAAAAUUGAAUUCUAUAAAUGGUUGUGUUUUCUAUGUAUGGAAUUACCAAUGAGUUAAUUAAAUAGUUUCCUUGCUCCAUUACAAGUAGGUUGGGGUUGUCUGACCUUUUUCCUUAAUAUGCUUCAUGUUUUAGCAAUGAACUUUUUGUUUUACAUUUAUGGUCUUUCCUAGUUCAAAUGAAUGGUAAGCGGAUCUACUCUUUUAUGAAUUUCUGGUCAGGUAAAAUUAGUUGGGUAUGCUGGAGUAGCUUUAGGUGAGUAUGAUGCUUGUAUUCAAAACUGUCCAGCUUAAUCUUUUGGCUGUUGUAUUUUUAUGGCAUGAAUGUUACAGAAGUAGAGAGGAAAAAAGUAAUAAUUAACAUAAUGAUGGACAUUCAUGGACUAAGAGAGCCCCUGAGACCUAAAUUUGUCGGAGUGGAAAUUUUGACAUGAUUGGGGAAUUUCAACUUGGAAAUAAUAGUCACAGUGUAUAAAAUUCUUACUUCUAGAGAACAAGAUAGUUGUUUGGUUCUGAAUCGCACUGGCUAAUGGCUAUGCCAUCGCCAAAGCUGGUUCCUUAUCCUCUUCUUCUUGAAGCCUGAGUGUGACAUAUGCUUUGAGCCUUUAGUCAUCAUGCAUCCAUUCUGUUACCCUAGCACUGAGGGUUCUUAUUUCUUCUUAGUUUUUCCUUGUCAGAAUAGACAAGUGUAGAAAUGCUUUUUCCAAAAGCUUUCAAAUGCUCUAUAAACUAGAGAGCUUUGUAUCUUUACUUUUGUGCCUAUUUUGUUGCUCCAAUCUUCUAGUUCAGCUGCUUCAUGAUUUUCAAAGGCUGACAGAGCCAUAACUUGUACAUAAGUCAGAACUUUUUCCAACAAGUAUAAGACUUGCAAGAUUACUACUAUCUCAACUCAUUUACCACAUUUGUGGUGAGUGACUUUGAGCCAUUGACUACCAUCUGAUUUAACUGAUAUUUUGGCUUUUUAACUUUGUUAAUUACUGGAAUUUAUAGUUAAGUAUGGGGAUAUUUGGUGAUGACAACCACAAAUGAUUUAGUCUUAUGUCAUAUUUUCAUUCUCCAAUGCUGUGCAAAGUUGUGUUUUAUGUCCAGUAUAUAACCUUUAAUCCUUAGUUCGCAUUGAUGAUCUUUCUACCAGCCUGUACAACACAAGAAAUUAGUUCGGCUAUUUGAAAUAAUCCUGCAUACCUGCAAGUGGCUUGGCUUUCACCUAAUUUUUGUUCCUUGUGUUUAUACUGCUUUUAUUUUGGAGAUUAGACGUUUUCCAACUUUGAUUGAAUGCAUUUAUUUAUUUAUUUUAUUUUUGUAUGUGGAAUAUUUCUACUCAAAUCUAAUUAUAUCUUGUUGGGUUAUACAUGUGUGUGGCGAUAAUUUCGUUAACUAAUUGUGAAUUUUACAACAAAGGUGUCUGUCUACCCUUUUGUAUAUCAAAGGCGGAUGCACCAUACAUCCGAUUUCUCUACCAUACAUGAUCACAAGGAACUUUUCGUGUAUCCUCCACAUGACAGAAAUAAUACUCUUAGUGAGGUAAACAAUUAAUUUGACUAAGAAAUUGAGAAAUCAUAUCUUCUCAUGGUCCUUAAUGUCUACUUGGUAUUUCUUAUAAUCUAACACUUUUUACUUGCUAUAUUCACAUAUAGGAUCAGAUCCCUUUGGAAAAAAUUAAGGAAUUAUAUAGUCCUCUCAUUCAUGAAUAUGAGUCCAGAUCGAAAGUUGCCAAAAAGAAAGAAGUGACUUGGAUGGAUUUUUCUAGACUGUUAAUCAACACAGAGGUUGAGAAACGCAUUUGGAUAGUUGAAGAAGUUCAUAGAAGGAACUUGCAUAUCGUGGACGGAUGUUUCAGUGAAGAUCCACCGAUUGCGUGUACUUGGCCUUUGCCCAAUGAAAGGUAAGUUGUAAUGUUUCUAAUGCUUUUAACAUUUAUCAUAGUUGUCCAUGUUAUAAGAUUGAUUUUUUUUUUCUUUUUUAGGUGCACUAUAGUUUCAGUUAUUGCUGGAUUUGACCCGAAGACGGGGACGAUAUUUUAUGGAAUCGUGAUACGGAAUGAACAUGGCGAAAUAUUGCUGAUACAAUGUCUGACUGAAGUCAUUGAAUCUUGGAAAAGAUUUAAUCCGCAUGAGGCUGAGGCUGAAGCUAUUCAUAGAGGCAUUAAGUUUGCAGAUAAGAAUAAGGAAAUGUUAGGAUAUGACAAGUUCAUAGUUGAAUCUGAUAGCAAAGAAGGCAUUCAUCGGGUUUCAAGGUCUCUUACUUUCUUAAGAUUUUAUUUCACUUUUGAUCCUUUUUUUGUUCUUUAUAUUUAUACUUGUGUUUGGCAUUUGUUUGGCAGAUGGGCAAGUGAAAAUUACCCAAAUUUUAAAUUGAGACACACAUAUCGCGAAUUAAUGGGGUUAACCCAACUCCUCAUCAAACUUGUGAAGGUCUCACCAGAUGUCCAGAAUCCCGAUUACGAGUCGAUUGAGAAGGAUUUAAAACCCAUUGCAGAAGGAUUCAAGGCUGGCAUGUUGCGCCUUAUAUUUCCAAAGUCCAGGAAGAGCAAGAAGGGAAGGAACCAGAAGAACAAGCGUGAGAAUUGAAUGAUGUUCAAGUUAAAGUAGUAGAGUGAGGUAUGCGCAAUUUUCUCUACCUUUUUUUUCCCUAAUUAUUUCAUUUCAAAGGUUUUUUUUUUCUAAAUUUUUUUGAAAAAGAUAGAAAACAAAGAACUGCUUCCGUGUGUUCAAUUUCUUUGAUAUCUACCCCUGUUGUGGUAUCAACUCUUUAGUGUGUUCAAACUCUUAGGUCUUUAGAUUUUUUUCUUGAUUUUUGUCGCUGAAACACAUAAGCAUGCGUGCAUUAUUAAACAUUUGAUGAGUUUGUAUAUUGUCGAUAGAUAGUAUCGGAUGAAGAAAUGCAGUAUUAAUGUUCAUCUUUUGUAGAAUCCCUUUUAUGUACUGGUAGUUUUGUUGCUUAGUAACGAUUUGGUUCAAUUGGGUCAAUUCCAGAUGGAGAUAUUUGGCUAUUUGCUGCCUUGUUUAUAGGUUUAUGUUCUGUUCAAUUAUUUGACAUUGAUAUAUUUUUCUGAGUUCGUUUUACCAUUCUGCAGCAAGAAUCAUUACUUGUACUACGGUCAGGUUAUUAACAAUUUAACAUCUUUCUUUAUUUGAUCGCUGUCUCCUUUUGUUUAACAAUUUAACAUCAAAAUUUUUGGGGAUUCUUUUCUUCUCCUUCUUUUUCCUUUUUUUUAGGAAAAAAAAAAAAAAAAAACCUUGCGGUCAACACCCACUAUCAUUAAUGGAGAAACAUGACAAAUGUAUUGAUGGAGAAAUAUGACAAAUGAGCUGGUGCAUAAGCCACACUGCGUAAUGCAUCUUUUUUCCCAUCAUUUUUUAAAUUAUUUUUUUUAGUACUCGUGAAGAGAGAUUUAAGAAGUUGGGAGAGGAGAUAGAAUUCGAGCCCCCGAAACUCAAACUUAAAAAUAAAAAAAUAAUAAUAAAAAUGGAAUGAGCAUAGUUUACUUGUGUAGUGCUAGUAGGAAUUCAUGAAGAUUUUUAUAAAAAUUUUUAAAAAAAACACAUGAAAAUUGAGAACUUCUUUGGUCAAGUAAUUUUUCUAUUUAUCUUUUCUUCUACUCCAUAACGCUUGCAAUUAUGCACUAAGAUCACAUAAUUCUAGCACACGACUUUUUCUUAUUGAUUUUUCUUUUCUUUUGAAAGAACUUUUUGGCUCCGUUUAGAUUAGCUGUUUUUUGAAAAAUUUUACUGUAGCAGAGUUUUUAUAGUAUGUUUUGAUAUAUUUAAGAGUAGAAGAGUUUUUAAUUAGAAUAUAUUGUGGGAUAUUUUUUAAACAUUAAAAAAAAUUUAAACGAUUUUUUAGAGUGCUUUUUAAAAAUUUUAAUAGUAUUUAAAAAACUAAUUUUUGAAAAAUUCUUAAAUCCAAGCAGAGCCAUGGUGUCUCAUACUAACAUAAUAAAAACAAUUUGCUCUCUUACAAUUUGAAUCCUCCACAGGCAUUAAACAAUGCCCUCUAAUGGCGUCUUUAGCAUAGUUUUGAUAUGAAAGAUCAUGGCAGAGGUAGACUCACUAAUACACAUGUAACUCUUCUCAUAAUCUCUCCGUGAAUCUAAAUAUAUAUAUAUAUAAAAAAAAAAAAAAGGACACUAUUUAGUGCUGAAAAAAUUUCACAGUGAUCAAUAUCAAGGCAUCAGAAGACAGCAGAUAUUUAUUGGUUCUCCACAAAUUGAAUUGGGCUAUUACAACUUGGUUCGAGUUACGAAUGCAUAGAUAGAUUAAUAGAAAUAUCAAAAUUACUGAGUAAGUAUUAUAUGGGUGCAAGAAUUCAUUCGAAAUAUGUGUAAAUAUGUGUAUAGCUAAUACUCAAACAUUUGAAUUAGCACAUAUAUCCAUAUAGAGGUAUACACAUAUUUACGCAGAAUAUUUGCACAUACACUUGCACACUCAAAAGGAUAUGAACAUGUAUAUUAUGCGUGGAUACCAAGUCGAACUUGGAUCAAAUUUUCAUUGCUUAUGCGUCUAAUUUUUUAACUCGUAACAUUAACAGCACCAUCCUUCUCCGCCAUUAACAUUUAGCAAUUCGAUUCAUUGCUUCUGAAUACGUAUUCAUCCUUUAUUAUUUUAACUAGAACUGUUUCAUGUUUAUUAUUUUAUUCAUCCUUUAUUAUUUUACCUAGUCCGGUUGCAAAUAAACUUUUUCUAUUUCAAAUUGUUUAUUUUCAUGCCCCCGCACCCUCCACUGUCACGCAAGGAAUCUACGCCGUGAUGUGCAUGAGCACGUCUGUUUUACUACAAAUAACAGUAUGCAGCGUACACUGCCAUCAUCGGGCAAGCCCCAUGCACAGAAGCAAAAACCGAAGCCUGGCGGUAACCACAAGUAUCUACUCAAAGUUGAUGACAGGGGCAGAAAUAAAAUGCGUUAACUACAUAGAAGAUAUUUGAUCAAAUACCUAGACAAUAGAUCGAAUACGAAAUGCGUAUUACAGAUGAUUUAUCAGUGUUUACAAUUUCCAACAUCAAAUACGAAAUGCAUCGGUCUGGAAGCGUUCGUCAUAUAAUCUCCAAUGGCCAUACCUUUCAACAUGGAAAACAGACCUAGGAAUGUAGAAGUUAGGCCUUUUUAUGGUUUUCAAAUUCUUCAAACUGGAAGAUGCAUUUGCUAUAUCACGACUAGUUACAUUUGCACAUCCAGAUAAAUCCAGAUAUUCAAGAUCCGAACACCCUUCGGAUAUCAAAACAAGACCUUUGGCCGUCAAUUUGGAAAACCGAAGUUCGAGAUGCAGGAGAUGAGGCAUAAAUUUCCCAAUUGCAGUAGCAUCUGCAUCCCCAUCUUGAGGACAAGCAUCCAGAUACUCACCAGGUACAAUACCAUGAUGUUGAGAAGGAUCCAACCAAUUCAUCAAAUUCCGCCUGAAAACCUGCAACUUCGGGCAGUGCCUUCCUAUAAGUGCCAUAGAUUCAUGAGAUAUUUCAUAGCAAUAGCUAAUAUCAAGUUCCCUAAGGUUGGGGCAGCCAGAAGCUAUUUUAGCAAUAACUUCAUCUGUAACAUGAGGAGAGCUCUUAAUGGAAAGAACUUGAAGAUUGGGGCACCUGGGAGACAGACAAUGGAACUGAAUCGUUUCAAACGUCAAUAAAAAUAUAAGAUGCACACCCCUCAACAUUGACAGAAUUCAGAAUUGCCAUUUAGACUUGCCAUGACUAUUAUAGAGGUAAAUAAAAUUAAGUGGCAAAAUGCACAAAUUGUAAACCACCAGUAAAGCAAUUUUAUUGCUCUUGGUCUUCUACCAACAAUGAACCUCAAGUACAACAUACAUCCUAGUCAACUAAUAAAUAGAAAUGUAUAGUUUUUGAAAAGGCCGCAAAUCAAUACUUGAUAGAUAAAGAGGCAACCCACUCUUUUUUGAGUAAAUUUAGCAGUACAAUUGCCUUAUUAGGAUGAAUAGCCCAGAAUUAUGCUCAUAUUCCCAUUUUGCAUCGCGCCCCUUUAACAUUUUUUUUCAAAUCCAAACAACAUUACCCUAAUAAGCAUUAGUCAUUAAAUUCAAAUGCCAAUGAAGCCGGGCAAUCAGGUUUUAAAAACAUGGUUCAUCGAGAUAAAUGAAUCUGAAGGCAGCCAUAAGAAAAGCAAGAUCGAAACAGGGAAGUAGGAAAAAAAAUCCUUGGAAGAAAUUCUUCAUUCUCUUUGGAACCAUUCAACCAAGUGAUCCUGAUUUUCAAUUUGUCAUUUUGUACCCACCAAAUCAGACCCAAAUUCAACUGAGUUUUCAUCCUAUUCAUCAAGAAACCCCCUAAAAUGAACCAUUCUAUCUAACCCCAAACCCACAUCAUGUAGUACUUUUAGAGGAUUCCAUUGAUGAACUUUCAAAUGUUUCUCGAACCUAGAGCUGAAUUCUCAUCCAUUUCAAAAGAAUAACUCAAAACCACAAUUAAUAACAGAAUAAUUGACACAUACGUGGACAUUGUAUUCCAUAAUAUAAGAAAAAAUUAUCAAUCGUGUGCAUAAAACAAAUCCAUCGCUUAGAAAAUUCUGAUUUGUAGGAAAUUGACUUCUCAUUUCUUUUCUCUUGUUCACAAGCUACACCUCCAAACAACUAUUGUCCUCAGGCUUGACAUCGGUGAGUUUGAAAAAAUUGACAAGAGCACCAAACAUGCUUGUUGGGGCUUCUUCACCAGCGGGAGCGAGGGAAGGAAAGAAGAAGUUGGACAAGGGGAAAAAAAGAUAUUCAGGAAAUAGACUCUAAAUUUGAUCUUUGGGAAAUCGAUUAGUAUUCAAACAUUCUAAAUUUAUGGCACGAAACUGGGAUUAGAAUUAUGUGAGCUAGCCUUAAUCCAUAAUUCCAAAUUGACAACUAAAUUAAACAUAAAUUAACGACAAAAAAACACGCACACACGUUUUUCACCUUAAAAUUCAGGGAAAACGAAAAAGAAAAUUCAUAAAAUGAAAGAAAAAAAAUUCAAACAUCAAAGUUUAGACCUUUCAGAAACUAAAGAGAGAGAGCGGUUAGAGCAGUGUCUGACGCGGAUUUCAGUGAGGGAUCCAUCGCUCCAAGCGACGACGGAUAGAAGCAUGGCAUCGAUUUUGCGUUCGAACUCGGGAGUCCAGUAACGGGGCAACUCAGUGGAUGAGUCGAAGCGAGUUUCGAGGUCAAAGACCGAGUUGAGACAGGGCUCCUUGCAGGCGUGCAGCCAUGGCUUGCAGACGAGCAUAGCUCCCCGCCAUCGGUCUUCGAGUGAUACGCGGGAAAGGAUGUUAACGAGACACUCGUGAGUCAUAUCGCCCCAGUCGUGACUCGGUCCCGACUCGGAUGUUCCUCCUUCUUUGUCGUCCAUUUUGCCUUCUGUUGGCGGUGGUGGUUGUGCCAAAUCCCUUCGAGUUUUGAUGCGUGAAAUACUAUACUACAGGGGUCGAUUCGCGCGAUGCGUGACUUUGUGUGCAAAUAAGAAAAAAUAUUUGUAAAAUUUUUUGAAUAUUUGUAAAAUUUUUUGAAUAUAUUUGUUGACAUAAAAUGUAUAAACAUGUCCAAAUUAAUUAUUUGGCGGUGAAACAUGACCAUAACCGGUAGUUGCUAAACUAAUUAGUGAGAUUUAUCAGAUUUGUUGAAAAUUAGAAUCAUAAAAAAUACAUGCUAUUUGGUAGAAAGACAUAUUAAUAAUGAAUAAUUAUCAAGAAUAGUUUUUAAAAAAACAUAAAAUGAUAAAGUCUUUUUGAUAUCAAAAAGCCCCCUCUCCAUUUAUAUAUAUAGUAUACAUAUCAUAAGGCUUUAGUGUAACUAAAAAUGAUCUUUAAAAAAAGGUGAAAAGAAAAAUGGAUGAGAUUAAUGUUCAAAAACUAUUGGAAGAGAAAAAUUAUCGAUGGAAAAAUUAAUGUUCAUGGAGCAUGUUUCAAAAAAAAUUAAAAAAUUAAAAAAUUGUUCAUGGAUCGCUUGAAAGUUGAAAGACCAUAUAUAAUCCCUAAGUAACAAGAACUACUAACCAUCUUGAUAUCAAUUAAAUCACACAAGGGCAAAAUCAGGAUAUUACACAAAUCAAUUGCUUUUAGUAUUUUACCACACCAUAAACCAGUUGCAUAAAAUAAAUUCCAAUGUGCUAUUUGUAAAUGCACAGGAAUGAUUACGUAUCAUUGGGCCGGCCACAGUUGAGAAAAUACUAGAUUCAGGCCGUAAAUAAGGCCCAAAUAUGCUUUUAUGUGUUUUUCCCCCACAAUCUACGUACAAGAAAUUUCAACGUGUUCGAAGCCUAAUCCAGUAAUCCUAAUCGUAGGGCAUAAAGACAUUGCGUUGACUUAAAGAUGAGUUAAGGAUUAGAGAUGUAGUAAUUAAAUUCAAAUAUUUGCUUACUUUUCAUGUUUUUUUGGUAAAUAAAUCUCGACGAUUAAUGGAUACUCAAUAUUUAUCCUCAUAAAAGCGUGUUGGGAAACUAUUUAGAGAAAAGACGCGGGGGAGAAGCAGUGCAACAUCAUAGACAAACUAAAACUGAUUUGUGUGACAUCUGAUCCGGGUUACACAUUAAACGAUGUACCACGAAAUUCCAACACAAAUAUGCUAGGAUGCAACAUUUCCUAAUCACUCCAAAAGCAAGUUAACAUGACAUGUUCAACAUGCAGAUAUCAUUGGUAAACAGAAAGGUAUAACCUAGCUUCAUAUAUGGACACCAUAACGAGGGGGAAGCAGCAGAAACGGAAAAGAGAAGGCCAUGCGAAUCAGGAUUGACCUGCAGGCUCUUCUUGCAGACAGAAGUGUUUUGGGUUUCAACUUCCUGAAUUCUAACGCCUAUUGUUAGUUUCUCAAUCACCUAAUAGCAUAGCUAACUCAAAGCUUCAAUCCGCCCACCCUCCAACCCCCAAACCACCUCCCUGAAAAGAAAAUAACACCCAGAUGCCAGAAUCGAUCUACAUUUACAGCUUUGGCAUCAAAGUAAGCAAAAAGCAAGAAAAAUGCAGAUGGAAAUGUAAAAACGAAACUCCCAUUAUUGUUAUCAUGAUGAUCAAUCCUGUGGCAAUAUUCAAUAGACCAGUCCAACAACGCCACCAUUGUAUAAGCACUUCUUAAGUACAUGGAUAGGAUCAACAACGCCAAUACCUCCUAAGAAAACAGCAACUUUCAACUGAAAAUUUUUGAUAUAUCGACAAAACAAGGUUCAAAAUUCUACAACAUUACAAGUAAAGCACAUGCGUUAAUAAACUCUUGAACAAUGGAAACAGGAAAAUCCAGAGUCUCAGGGAACAAUAACCACAUGAACAUCGGCAUAAAAAUUCAUAAUUGGUUUUAAUUGGAAAGCCAAAUUCCACAGGGCAGUGCUAGGCAAGGGGCUCAUAGUACUCGCCGCGGGACAUAUCCCGAUCGAUGAAGAGAAUUGCGUAGAGAGCAUAGAUUAUUCCCGGAACGUACCCGAGGAUGGUCAAUACUAAGCAGAUAAAGAACUCUACCUGCCCAAAAUUCACCCAAGCAUUGGAAAAAAAAAAAAAAGAUACAAGAAUUAAUUAAAUUGAGCAUCUAAUCUAGGUAAAAUGAAGAAGAAGAAGGACGAGGCUUACAGUGCAGCAGCCAUGCCGGAGACAAACGCCGAGAGGGGGAAGGAGGAUCGCCAGUAUAAUCUCGCAGCAGAUUUCACAUCUGGACGCCAUUCUUCAGCCUGAUCCUUGUUUAUCCAGACGAAGCGAUAUUUUUCUUUCUCCUUUUUUACUUGUUUUUGCGCGUUCCUGGAAGAUUGAUUUGGGGGAAAGGAAUAGAAAAAGGUGGAUUUAUCGAAAUUUUUGGGGAUUCUUUUCUUCUCCUUCUUUUUCCUUUUUUUUUUUUUUUAAAAAAAAAACUUGCGGUCAACACCCUCUGUCAUUAAUGGAGAAACAUGACAAAUGUAUUGAUGGAGAAAUAUGACAAAUGAGCCACACUGCGUAAUGCAUCUUUUUUCCCGUCAUUUUUUAAAUUAUUUUUUUUAGGACCCGUGAAGAGAGAUUUAAGAAGUCGGGAGAGGGGAUAGAAUUCGAGCCCCCGAAACUCAAACUUAAAAAUAAAAAUAAAAAUGGAAUGAGCAUAAUAGUUUACUUGUGUAGUACUAGUAGGAAUUCAUGAAGAUUUCUAUAAAUUUUUUUUUAAAAAAAAAACACAUGAAAAUUGAGAACUUCUUUGGUCAAGUAAUUUUUCUAUUUAUCUUUUCUUCUACUCUAUAACGCUUGCAAUUAUGCACUAAGAUCACAUAAUUCUAGCACGCGACUUUUUCUUAUUGAUUUUUCUUUUCUUUUGAAAGAACUUUUUGGCUCCGUUUAGAUUAGGUGUUUUUUGAAAAAUUUUAUUGUAGCAGAGUUUUUAUAGUAUGUUUUGGGAUAUUUAAGAGUAGAAGAGUUUUUAAUUAGAAUAUAUUUUGGGAUAUUUUUUAAACAUAAAAAAAAAUUUCAACUAUUUUUUAGAGUGCUUUUUAAAAAUUUUAAUAGUAUUUAAAAAACUAAUUUUUGAAAAAUUCUUAAAUCCAAGCAGAGCCAUGGUGUCUCAUACUAACAAGCAUUAAACAAUGCCCUCUAAUGGCGUCUUUAGCAUAGUUUUGAAGAUAUGAAAGAUCAUGGCAGAGGUUGACUCACUAAUACAUAUGUAACUCUUCUCAUAAUCUCUCGGUGAAUCUAAAUAAAUAAAAAAAAAAGGACACUAUUUAGUGCUGAAAAAAUGUCACAGCGAUCAAUGUCAAGGCAUCAGAUAUUUAUUGGUUCUCCACAAAUUGAAUUGGGCUAUUACAACUUGGUUCGAGUUUAAUAGAAAUAUCAAAAUUACUGAAUAAGUAUGUGGGUGCAAGAAUUCUAAUAUGGAAGUAGAAAAAUAGGAAGGGGAAUAUUGGAAAAUGUGAAUAUUAUGGAGAGAGAGAGAGGACUAUGCAGUGAGAGGACGCCACUGAUCGUCCGGGUGGGAGCCUCUAACCACUAUGGCGUAGACGGCGUAGAUAAUGCCCGGGAUGUAACCUAAAAGCGUCAGGACCAAGCAUAUGAAGAACUCGCACUGCCACAGAUUCACAAACGUUCAUCAGUAAUUAUAACUCAUCUAUUUGUCUGUCCAAAGAAAUUGAUUCAUCUCUUUGUGCAUGUGAAAUUGGAAUUUGGAUCAAGGGUUUCAACAAUAAUUAAUUACGCUAAGCAAAUACUCCACCAUCCGGGACAAUGAAUGUGGCCUCGUUCUCUUCUCGGUUGAUUUUUUUAUAUUUUACAGAAUCUAUAAUCAUUAAAACUGAUUAUGGAAUCAGCACAAGCUACUUUUUAGGUGAUUUUAGUUUUUUUAAUCAUUUAAAAAAAAUCUAUAAUCAGACUAUAAAAGCAACCAAAAAACAUCGCAAAAAAACUAAUUCUCUAAAAUCAGAAUCUAUAAUCAGUUAAAACAAUCAAUCGAUAACAAGCCCGAUGUACAUUCGAUGUUCAUUGAAAGCAGUGAUGUAUAUAUGAAGAAAAUAUUAAUGGAUUUUAAAAAACUGGAAGUGGUGUCGUAUAUGUGUGAAUUGAAGUAUAAUCAUCAAUCUUUAGGAAGUAUCAUUAUUGAUCUUGUUCGAAACCCUAGCAUUUUGACAGGAUUUGCUUGGAGGGUGUGUGGGAGAGAGAGAGUGUGCGUAGCUUACGCUGCAGCAGCCAUCUCUUAGGCAAACACCGAGUGGCGGGAUGAAUAUUGCGAUGAGGAUCUCUAAGAAGACUUCACAUCUAGAUGCCAUCCUGAUAGCUGAUUCCUGCUGCCGUAAAGAGUUGGAAGAAAUGGUGUGGGGAUUAAUUCUACUUUGGGGUUCAAGAUAUAGGAGAAAAAUUCAAAGUUUGCAUUGAUGAUUAAUCAAGGAAAUAAGAAAUUCUCGGAUCACAUUUUGACCUAGUAAAGUGUAACAAAUGGUCAAAUCGUUGUUAUAAAGAAUGGAAAAAAGGUCAGCCUUGGUGAGCCCAAACAGAGCCCACAUUCGCAAUAUUUGAUGUGGCAUUACUUAUGUUGUAACAUAAUCAAACCUUAAUUUUUAGAGCAAGUAAAGAAAGACAAGACAAAAUUGACAAAAAAAAAAAAAAAAAAAAAAAAAGAGGAGAGACGAGAUAACAACCUCAGUGAAAGUUCAAACAUAAGCAAGAAGAAUUCACUGCCAAUCUCCUUGAAAUUAUUUUUCUUGCUUUGUUUUCAUAUUCCUUUUGCCUAGUGCAUUGUUGUUGUCACUGUAAUUAUGUGCUCUAUUAGUUACAAAAUUACUUGGUUCUUAGUUUGGUUUUGCAAAAGUAAACGAUGAUAUUGAUUCUUCAAAGCCAAAAGAGAGCUUAUCUACCAAAUUGUUGAGUAAAGGUAAUAAUUUGGUGACUAGAAGUCUCGAUUUGAGAAAAGGAAAGAGGCAAAGAGUUGCCAGGGAGGGAAUUCUCUGCUACUGAAGGAGAUUACCAAAUCAGUUUUAUAGGAGUGCGCGGUCAUUUAAUUAUCUUUGACGAUAGUUUUGUCAUGAAAAAUCUUAUUAUGGAGUGGCUCCAGCUUUUUGAGGAGUGCUAGCAUCAUCAACCUACAAAAAGUACCAAAAUAAAUGUUUCUAAUUUUUUGUUUUUUUAGACUUAAAAAUUCUAAAAUAAAAAUAUAAAAAGCAAUUGAGAACACAAUAAGAUAAUUUUUUCAAAUUCAAAAUUUAAAAUCAAGUUUUGAAAAUCAGUUGAGAACAAGGUUGAAAUUUUAUUGACAUAUAUAUUCAAAAUCAUUUCAUUUCCUUCUGAAAACUUCCAAACAAUAUCAAAAUCUCUUCUCUUUUCUUCCAUACUUUUCUUUCAUAACUUAUUAUUUCGCUUUUUUUUUUUGUUUUUUCUUUUCUAACCUAAACUCCCAAACUAGGAGAGUAGAGAAAAGAAAAGGUAUGUAGCAUGUCGAAUUUACAAUUUGCUCUUCUAUUCAAAUAACUACAUCUUUGCUUAAUGGGUAAAAAUAAUUCAGUUCGUUUGGAUGGAAGAAAUAGUUUAAGUUGGAGAUUGGAGAGCGUUGGGUUUGUGUUUUUAUCCUUUCUUUUCUUCGCAAAGGCUGCUGGAAAUGGAAAGAAAGUUACAUUUGUUUAUUCUACUUGUUUGGAAUGACUUUUUUCUCAAAAUUUUUUUUUACAUAUAUCAUAACCCCAUUUUCUAAUCACUUUUUUUUUUCAUCACAUACAUUAAAUUGUUGCGAUACAUUUUUCUAUAAAAACUAUAAAAAAAUAGCAAUCCAAAUGAGAUAUUUUUCUGGGGAAAGGCACCAUAUGCUCUUAAUUUGUGCAGAUUUCUGAAACAAUUAGGCACCACUGGUCUACCUUGUUUGGAUUGCAUUUUUCUGAAUUUUUUAUAAAAAAAAUUACUGUAAGUCUGUAACGAUUUGUAUAUAUAUGAGGAAAAAAGGUGAUUGCAAAAUGUGUUCACGAAAAACGUAACAAUUUUUACUUGAAAAAUGGCAAUCCAAACACACCUAGCUACUAGUUAUGUUUCUUAUUUCAACCAAUCUGGGGUUUCUGAAAUCUUAGAAGUUAUUUACAGCUAAAUCUCAACAGCAUGGCAAAUAUGCUACAUUAGGCAAAAUUACACAAGCUAAAGUUACAGACAUUUGAAUUGCAGCCAUGACCGGGGAUGGGGUUUUUGGGGGGAGGGGAGGGGGGUUGUCGGGGCGGGAACAGUAACUGGAAUUACUGCCUUUGGAAAUCAGGUUGCAUCUCUCCAACAAUUUCAGCAGCUAGAUAUUUAUGCAGAAGGUUAACCUGAAAUAUAACAGUCAAGACCAUUAUCAUGUCUUCUCGCUGCCUGAUAAUCAUCUUCCUAACACAGCCCCAUCAGCAUCUUCAUUAUUUAUAUUAUCUCCUAUGGUAGCUUCAUCAGCUUCUUGAAGCCGGGUCAUAUGCUUCUUCCCCUUUCUAUGUGCUUCCAUCACACUUUCAUUGUAGGCUCCUACUUGGCACAUCUCACACCAAAAUGUGCAUAUUUUCUUCUUCUUUUGCCCUUUGUUGGGGGCUUUCUGAACUCCCAAGUUUUUCUUCCUUGUAUUGUCUGUCUUAUCACUUUCUUCCGAAAUUGACACAUUAUUUUCUUUUGUCCGUUCUGUACUUGAAUUAAUCUGAAGCGAAGAUUCCCUAGUUUGAUUAAACUGCGACAGUUCUCCCCUUGAUUUCAGUCCCAUCUCUGAGCUGAUCUUAUGAGCAACUUCCACUGAAGGCUUGAUGUCUUUCUUGGGGAAUGUGCCGAUGCCAAUAUUAUUACCAUUCCUCUGCGCCCUCAAAGCAGCUUCUUUGGACUUGUGUUUCUUUCCUUGGAUGUGAUCAUUCAGGCCCCGCUCACUUGUGGCACUAACCUGACAAAGCGCACAACUCCAUUCCUCCUCCACUUUCUUCUUUGAAACUCCACCUGAGAGGUCACCUGCACCCUCUUCUUCCGGUGGAACAGCUUUCCGCUUUGCUCCCAAAAGUGAUGCAUCAGGUUUAGCCUGUGUAGAGAGCUCAAAAAAUCCAUAAUCAAGUCCAUAACUGUUAAGUACAAAGGGAAAUGACAAGAACAACAAUUAUUAGUUUAGAUCAAACCAAGUGUUCUGGCAAAAUGUGUACCAUCCAUUGGCCAUCUAGCUUUGAACAAAAAGACUUGAUCUGCUCUAUUUGAAUAGAGUAACACCACUUAUACAUGCUAGAGAGAGAGAGAGAGAGAGAGAGAGAGAGAGAGAGAGAGAGAGGACUAGGGGCACAGAACAGAAGUUGUUUUCCUAAGCAGGCCAGGCCCUGAUCUAUUUUAGUUAAUUCCGAGUACUAUUUUAGCUGCCAGCUUUAGCUCCAUUCACUUAUCUAAAAAAUGCCAGUAAGCAUAGUCAUGCCAUUACAGCCUAAACCAGUUUCUAAAUCUAAAAGUCACAUGAUGACAAGAAACAUAGCUUCCAACAACGACUGUAUUGAAUUCCCAGUCUCAAUUUCUCUCCAGAGUUGGGUGGCUUGUAACCAGUCUCAUUGGUAAAACACAUUAUAUCCUAGCAUGAUUUUGGAUAUAGUCUCCACUUUAAAUGUCGUUUAUUAACGCUUGAUUAUCCUGAUCCCAGAAGGCCAAAGUGCAAUAGACAAUCAUGAGUGAUGAGACUUCCUGAUCUAAACCAUGAAUGUAUUGACCAGGUAUGCAUGGUUGAGAUCAGUUGAUCACGUCAGCCUCGACUGGCGAUGGCACUCUCGCCCCCAAACUGUGAAUUACCAACAGGGGUAAAUUACAUUGAACUCCCGAAUUCUAUACCUAUUUACAGUUAAAAAUGCCAAUAGCUCUUCAUUUUAACUUUGAAAAGCAGCUCUUCCCAGAACCUGUAAUGCCACCCCAUGACUCCAAGACCAUAUAUUUAUGAAUUUCAAAAUGCUAAUGACAUGUCUGUGAAUUUAUCAAUAAAAUCAAGAAAGAUAACAAAUGGUUAAAUUGCAAAAGAACAAACUUUCAAAUCCCAAACGUAUGAUAUAAAGAUGACCAAAGAAAUUCUCUCAAAAGGAUUCACAACCAACAUCCUAAUCAAGGAGGGCAAGAUCUGAUAGUUGAUGGAUUCAGCUUGUAAAACAUAUCAGAUUGAGCUCGUGAUUUACAAGUAGAAUCCAAUUAAAUCCAAACCCAACAAUUAGAAUGAAAGUUCUUAAUCCUGUCUUUAAGAAAUCCUUGGAUCAUCUGUAGUCAUACAACUUGGGGUUUGUUUAUUAUUGAACAUAAAUUACAACACAGAACUUCAAAUGAGUGUACUAAAUGAAAACAGAAACAAUAAGAACUUGAUAGAUCAGAAUUCACGACACCAAAAGGAAGAGUUGCUCCCAGCCAAAUCCAAUGAGAACACUACACAGUUACCACCAAGGCAAAUGAGACAAGUAUCAAAGGCAAAGAACAGAGAACCAUAACCAAUAAUAGAAACAAAAAGAAAUUAUAAAAUGGAAGGACAUUUGCAAGCCAGGACCAGCUAAGGACAACGUCAACAAGAUAAUGAUGUGCAAAACAGAAACUAUCUAUGUGAAAGUCUAACAAUUGGUUAACACCCUCCCUCCCCGGUGCACAGAACAGGUGCAGAAUAUCCCCCCAGUAUUUUGAAAGACCUUAACACAGUAUCUGUUAUAAUGGAGAUAAUCAGCAAGUUUUUUAGGAAAAGCAAUAAGUAGGUGGCACUCCUUUUCUACAGGGGGUGUAACCAGCAAAUAACAUCUUUCUCCAAUGUUUGUCAUAACAAAAGUUGAAUUUCAAGAAGAGAUGGUAAAAAGUCUGUAGAUCAUUCAAAAUAGUGAGUCAGAGAAGUUCUUUUAAAGCUUGAUAAACAAUCUGACUGAAGUUCUUCAAUCCACCACGGAAAAUGAUCUCCAAUUAUCAGCCACAUCACCCAAAAAGACAUGCAACCUUUUUUGUGGACCAAAGCUCACAUAUAACAUCAACCUCAAAUUCCGUUGGAAGAAAGUAAAACAAUUGCAUGGGCAUUUAUGGCUAGACAUACAAAACCCUGUUUAAUAAGACUAACAAAAACCAGACCUUGAUACUCUACAAAACGGAGCAUACAAACAAUUUAUGACUAUAACCACAAUCAAAUGGUAAUGAUAGAACAUGCCUUGAAGCUCUAAAAAUGUUGUGAUCCAAAUGCAGGUGAACAAUCUUACCACUUAACCAGAUCCAAGUGUGAGAAAUAGAAAACUACAUACUGACCAGUAUAACAAUUUUGUCUUUUUUAACGUCUGCUGGAGAUGACAUAAACUCUUUAAUCUUUGGCUCUAUGCUUCCAUGCUGAAGCGGCACCAUCCCAAGUCUCCCAGUCUCAUGUCUCUCCCUCAUUCCUAGCCUCUCUUCUAGGGACAUUGCAAUUCUCUCCUCUAACGACUGCCCUUUAUUAUGCAGAAACAAAACAUCUCUAGGCUGAAACUCCAUCGCACCUCCAAAUGGAAACGAAAACCUAUCAAAUGGAUCAACUAGCCCUCUUCUGGCCCGAAUGGCUAAUUCUCUCUCCAUCAUCAUCUCCCUCCUUACUUCAGCCUCCAGUGCUUGUCUCUCCGCCGCAAUGAUUUCUUCCCUAAUCCGCUCCUUCUCAAGUUCUCUCUGAAUUGCCUCACGGACAUCGAGUCGAUUCCUAAUGUACUCAUUUACUUGUCCAAAAUCCGCAUUAAAACAACCAUUGGCCCAUCCAGGGCCAGAAUUGAAAUACUCAUUGGCCCUUCCAGAGCUUGGAAUUCUAUAGCCCGCUGAAACACACAGAAGCAAAAAAAAAAAAAAGAGGAGAAACAGAUCAGUAAAAUUUAAGUUUAAACUCUGCAUCGCGACCAAAACUUUUCAGAAAUUAGAUUUUAGAGAAAAAGGCUAAAAGUAUGUCGAAAGCCAAUUCCAAAAUUCCUUGCUUGCUCCAAAGAUCCUCUCUCUCUCUCUCCAGCUUUUGGCCAAAAUUGAACUUCUAGAAGGCCAGUUUUACAUUGUUAACAAGUUGCUGGGUAUAAAAACCAAAUUUUUGUGUGAGAAAAAAAGAAAAGAAAAAUCUCUCCACUCUAACAAGCGGCAUGCAUUGGGUCUAGGAACACGAACCAUGACAAAUCCAAUAUCAAAAUUUCAGAUUUUCUACAGCGAACUAUAAAUGCAGAGCAAAUGCAGGAGCAGUAAAAACAAUCCAAUAAGUUAAUCUCAAAAGUGAAUCAAUUAUUCAGAUUUACCACAUGCAAACAAGUCAAUCCAGUUACAGAAAUGAAUCAAUCCAGUCAAAGAACAGUUUUUUACCAGCAAAAAAAUGGAAAAAAGAAAAGAAACGAAAAGGAAAAAAAGGACCUCUGAUGGCUUGUUCAGUGAAGUAACUGUAGCCCGAGGACGACGCCGUCGGGUGUCUGUAAUACGGCUGCGGCGGCGGAGGUGGCGGUGGUUCAUCCACAGCUCUAUAUUUGAAUUCCAUUUUGCACUUACCACUACCUAUUUCUCUCUGUGCUUUACUUAAAACUGAAGGGACUGGAGAAUUUAAGUGGGGGGGAGCUUUUAAAUUGUUUCUUUUAUGGGGGAAAGUGAGAAAAUUGAGAGGCGGAACACGUGUACUUCAGGGGGAGUUUGAGACACGCGCCUCUGGCGGGAGGUAGGUGGCGUUCAGAAAUUGAGACUGCCGCUAUCAGUAGUAUCGGAGCCUCAUUUUCUGAACGGGUUGGGGGUUUUGUUCCGGCAGAGAAGCCGGCGAACGUGUAUGCCAGACUCUACCACUGCAAGUGAGAAAGACAAUAAGCAACGUACACAUGCAUAUCCUGUUGUUAGAAGUAGAGAAAACGUGCGAGAGGAAAGAAGUUGGAUUCGUAUUACGCAAUAAUCUUUUAAUUUUUUGUUUGCCAAACGAAAAUAUUGUACUUACUACGAUGUAAAAGAUUUGCCUUCCUUGUAUAACAGCUCAAUGAGUACGAAAUUUAUUGUUCUGAGGUGGAUACCAUAAUACUAAUUCAAUGCUAAUUAGGGUUAUUAUGACGGGUAUUUUUUAUUUAUUAUUUUUUUAAUAUAAGUAUGAGAUCUCAAAUUCAAAAUUUCUUAUUUAUAUUUUCUUAUCAUCUAAUCCAUCCCUCGCUCCUCGAAUGAAAUAUUUAGAUUAGUGUAUAUCAGUAUAUAUAUAUAUAUAGAGAUGCAUGUUCCAAUUUUCCAUUAUUAGGCCACAAACACAAAGUCAAAGUUGGAAGCCAAAGCCACAAAGUUCAAUAGUAGCAACAUGUGAGCAUUUAAGUACUAUAGCAAUAACCUUUUUCUUUUUUCUUUUUUGCCUUUUUGGUGCGAAAGUAUUACAGUAACUCACCGUCCUUUUCUUAUCCAAAACCAAAAGUGAGGAAUGAGGUAGGGUGACUACAGGACUAUACGACAUGGCAAUGACCAAUCAACGAUGAAGCAGUGGUUUGGAAACUUCACCGCUGCACGUUUGGGUCUCCCCUUCAAUUAGUUACUGAAUGCACGGAUUCUUAAAAGUGCAUUGAACGUUGAAAUUUGAUGGCUGCACUCGAAAACUAUUCGCAUUCCGACAUUGAAAGACUUGUACAUAAACCUUUUUUCUAUUUCUUUUCUUUUUUCCCAACUGUUGGUGUUCCGAUCCCUAGAGCCUUUCUGUAUGAAUUAGAUAUCUUUGAAAGUAUUUUUUUAAAAAAAUUGUACUUCAGGAAUUAUAUAUGAAAAAAUUUUAUUAUAAAUAAUUUAUUAUUUUAAAGAUAUAUUUUACAAUUUUUUAAAGUAUUUUUUAAAAAAUUGAAAAUAAUACCGGUGGUUGUCACUGCCGCCCAUUGCUCCUUUCUCCUCUCUCCUCCCUAUCUUUCUUUCUUCCCCUUCUUCCUUCCUCCUCUUCUCUCUUUCCUCCCUUCUCCUUCCUUCUCCCGCCUCCCAUCCCCCUUUGGUCUCGCUGCAACCAAAUUGUGCUUCUCUAAAGAUGAGGGUAGGAAAGAGAGGGAGGGCGGCAAUGACGAGGGAGGAGGGGAGGGUAGGGUGGUGAUAUGUGGCGAUAAUAGGUUGUGGAUGGAAGAAGAUGAAGGUGGUAAAUUUUUUUUAUCUUGAUUAUUUGUUUUUUAAUUGUAUUUAAAUUUUGUAUGAAUUAGAUAUUUUUAGAACUGUGCAGCUAUAAUAUUUGUAUUUGAAAAACUUGUUCGUGAACAAAUCACUAACUCAAACAGAGUCCCAUUCUCAGGCUUGGGAACUCUUCUUCAUCCUUGCAUUAUUUCAGCGUCCGUGUGAUGAUGUAACUGAGCAAGAGGUUCUCAACGAAUUUCAAACAGAUACAAACUUCAGCACCUAACCCCGAUGUGCCUCGCUAAAACUAAAAAUUCUGCAGUACUGAUUCAAACUGCACGACUAGCCUGGUAUGUAUGUGUGGUUUCAUUUGCUUAAAACACUGGAACGAAAGCCUCAUAUUCUUAUCCGCUAAACCAUUGUAAAACAACGAAAAUACCCUGAUGUUGAAUGAAAUUAAAGGAUGGCAAUCAGUCAAAGCCAAAGAUGACAACUUCAAAAUCAAUCAAAAACUCGAAAAUGAUUUGUUUUCUGCUUUUUGUUGGGGAUGUGGGCGCUUACUUUUCUAUGAGCAUUUAACUAACGCUCUAAAGGUAAGCAGCGCAGCAACAAUCAGGUCGCGUUUGGAUUGUAAUUUUUUGGAGAUUUUAUAAAAAAUACAGUAGCGAUUUGAUAUAUAUGAGAUAAAAAGGUGAUUAAAAAAUGUGUUCACGUAGAGAUUUUUUUGGUGAAGAAUCCUUUCCAACCAUGGAAUGCAGUUCAAGAAGAGAAACGAAAGAUUUUACCGGUGGCCAAAGCUGCAAGACUUUGACCAAUUGACCAGACCUACCCUUCUUUCUUUGAAACUUCUUGGCUUGAUCCAUUGGUAAGCAGUCGACUUGACUCGAACAAGUUGCUCGCAAGCAAGAAACAAUUUUGGCAGACUUUUAAUCUCAGUUUGAAACAUACCUGUAGAUUUCAUUUUUGCCAUGGAAUAUAUACGUAUCACCUGAAUGUUUUUGCUUAAAUUUACAGAGAUCCAUUGAAUGGGAUCAAGAUCACAUAUUUCCCCCCCUAAGUAGCAAGUAGUAGCAGCAACCGUACACCCUUUUGAGUUGGGCUUAAUUUGCUGACUCAAUGCAUUGUGCAGGUUUUCCCAAGUUUGUACCCGUCCCCAAAAUUUGUACGGCCAAAAAUUGGAUCAGCACAAAUCCUCUCACCGCACGCAUAUGGACAGAUUGAAGGAUUUGGAACCUGUUGCAGGUAGAAGAGACGCUACCAAUUUGUUUAUUCGCCAACCAGGCAAAGCAGAGAAAGUGGGAAUAGAAAAAUGCCUAAACCUUUGCAAGCACUGGUCACUAAUAUAUAGUUGAAAAGAAUGUAUUUGUAUUUAUAUAUAUUUCCUUUGCACGGGUGUUGCAUGACGAGUACUUUAUCUUCAUGAAUCGCGCGUUCGCUAUGAAAGCAACUCAUACAUGUAUUUCAUCAAAGGCUAGAGUUUUCACGUAAAGCAAAAAGGCUACAAGAAAAGGAAAGCAAGACCUUAAUUUUCUUCGAUUUCCAGAGUUGAUGUACCAGAAAGGAAUAGAGAACGAGGAGGUAAAUCUGGACACCUUCUGGAACUAGAUUAAGCAAGACUCAAAACUUUCCUUGGUUCCUCAGUCAAACCAGCAACGGACAUUUUACAAAAUCUAAGCAAAAGCCAUAUAUCGCCUUAUCAUAAUCCAUCUGUAGCAUCUAUUACACAUAUAUAUGACAUACAUGACAGGUAUCUGUAUGUAAAACUAAUUUUCCUUUACAGAGGAGGAAAACAUAACUACAUUGUCUAAGAGCCUUGCUGCUAUUUUCCAUAUUGGCUAUUGCAGCAGGGCAAGAUUUUCCUAAGCCCACUAGCUAAUGCUAUGUUGAUCUUCUACAGUAUUUCACAAGCCGAGCAUUCAAACCCUCAAAGCAACAGGGUCUUGCCACGAGAUUUUUCGCUUCCCAAUUCGAGAUGAACCUUCCCCAACAUUUCUAC
RNAcentral lists this long non-coding RNA (70423 nucleotides) under Coffea arabica (coffee). RNAcentral describes it as "long non-coding RNA (CARA_LNC004534)". Lineage: Eukaryota; Viridiplantae; Streptophyta; Magnoliopsida; Gentianales; Rubiaceae. The record is from RNAcentral.